AGAGGGAUGCAACACGAGGACUUUCCUGGAGGUCACCCAUCCUAGUACUACUCUCCCCCAAGCACGCUUAACUGUGGUGUUCUGAUAGGAUCAAGUGCAUUAGUGCUGGUAUGAUCGCAUCAGUUACUACAUGUAAUGCAAUCAUAUAUAUUCUUUUUUGAAGACUUUAUGAUCCAUUUGCCGUAGGUCCCACCAGCUAUGUAGGAAUACCCUAUCUUGUUUAUAAGAGCUUUGAUACAUGCAAAAUAUUCGAAAACAAUGUCCGAACAUAUAAUUUUUGUCCCGUAAUAUAGCAAAGAUCACGAAAAGGCCAGGAAAAAUACAUUUCGGUCAAAAUUUGGAGUAGAAAAAAAACCCUUCCUCAUUCAUUGGACAGCUCUCUUUGGGCUUUCCGAAAAGGUAUCACAUGCCAAGUUUGGCCUCACGGUCUAAACCUUAUAGACUCAUACAUUUUUCACGAAAAAAAGAAGAGAAAAACCAAAAAAAAGAGUGAUUAAACACGAGGACUUUCCUGGAGGUCACCCAUCCUAGUACUACUCUCGCCCAAGCACGCUUAACUGCGAAGUUCUGAUGGGAUCUGGUGCAUUAGUGCUGGUAUGAUCGCAUCUGUUACUACAUGCAAUGCAAUCGUAUCUAUUCUUUUUUGAAGAUUUUAUGAUUCAUUUACCGUGGGUCCCACCAGCUAUGUAGGAAUAACCUAUCUUAUUUAUAAAAGCUUUGAUACAUGCAAAAUAUUUGAAAACAAUGUCCGAACAUAUAAUGUUCGCCCCAAAAUAUAGCAAAGACCACAAAAAUGCCAUAAAAAGUACAUUAAGGUCAAAAUUAGGAGUAGGAAAAAAAUCAAUAGGAGAAUUCCAUUUUCCUUCCUUCAUUCAUCGGAGAGCUCUCUUUGGGCAUUCCAAAAAGGUAUCACACGCCAAGUUUGGCCUCACGGUCUAAAAGUUAUAGAGUAUUACAUUUUUAACAAAAAAAAAAGAGAAAAACCGAAAAAAAGAGGGAUGCAACACGAAGACUUUUCUGGAGGUCAUCCAUCCUAGUACUACUCUCGCCCAAGCACAUUUAACUGCGGUGUUCUGAUAGGAUCAAGUGCAUUAGUGCUGGUAUGAUCGCAUCAGUUACUACAUGCAAUGCAAUCAUAUAUAUUCUUUUUUGAAGACUUUAUGAUCCAUUUGCCGUAGGUCCCACCAGCUAUGUAGGAAUACCCUAUCUUGUUUAUAAGAGCUUUGAUAGAUGCAAAAUAUUCAAAAACAAUGUCCGAACAUAUAAUUUUUGUCCCGUAAUAUAGCAAAGAUCACGAAAAGGCCAGAAAAAAUACAUUUCGGUCAAAAUUUGGAGUAGAAAAAAAACCCUUCCUCAUUCAUUGGACAGCUCUCUUUGGGCUUUCCGAAAAGGUAUCACAUGCCAAGUUUGGCCUCACGGUCUAAACCUUAUAGACUCAUACAUUUUUCACAAAAAAAAGAAGAGAAAAACCAAAAAAAAGAGUGAUUAAACACGAGGACUUUCCUGGAGGUCACCCAUCCUAGUACUACUCUCGCCCAAGCACGCUUAACUGCGAAGUUCUGAUGGGAUCUGGUGCAUUAGUGCUGGUAUGAUCGCAUCUGUUACUACAUGCAAUGCAAUCGUAUCUAUUCUUUUUUGAAGAUUUUAUGAUUCAUUUACCGUGGGUCCCACCAGCUAUGUAGGACUAACCUAUCUUAUUUAUAAGAUCUUUGAUACAUGCAAAAUAUUGGAAAACAAUGUCCGAACAUAUAAUGUUCGCCCCAAAAUAUAGCAAAGACCACAAAAAUGCCAUAAAAAAUACAUUAAGGUCAAAAUUUGGAGUAGGAAAAAAAUCAAUAGGAGAAUUCCAUUUUCCUUCCCUCAUUCAUCGGAGAGCUCUCUUUGGGCAUUCCAAAAAGGUAUCACAUGCCAAGUUUGGCCUCACGGUCUAAAAGUUAUAGAGUAUUACAUUUUUAACAAAAAAAANNNNNNNNNNNNNNNNNNNNNNNNNNNNNNNNNNNNNNNNNNNNNNNNNNAAAAAAAAGAGUGAUUAAACACGAGGACUUUCCUGGAGGUCACCCAUCCUAGUACUACUCUCGCCCAAGCACGCUUAACUGCGAAGUUCUGAUGGGAUCUGGUGCAUUAGUGCUGGUAUGAUCGCAUCUGUUACUACAUGCAAUGAAAUCGUAUCUAUUCUUUUUUGAAGAUUUUAUGAUUCAUUUACCGUGGGUCCCACCAGCUAUGUAGGAAUAACCUAUCUCGUUUAUAAGAGCUUUGAUACAUGCAAAAUAUUCGAAAACAAUGUCCGAACAUAUAAUGUUUGCCCCAAAAUAUAGAAAAGACCACGAAAAUGCCAUAAAAAGUACAUUAAGGUCAAAAUUUGGAGUAGGAAAAAAAAUCAAUAGGAGAAUUCCAUUUUCCUUCCUCAUUCAUCGGAGAGCUCUCUUUGGGCAUUCCAUAAAGGUAUCACAUGCCAAGUUUGGCCUCACGGUCUAAAAGUUAUAGAGUAAUACAUUUUUAACAAAAAAAAAAGAGAAAAACCGAAAAAAAGAGGGAUGCAACACGAAGACUUUUCUGGAGGUCACCCAUCCUAGUACUACUCUCCCACAAGCACGCUUAACUGUGGUGUUCUGAUAGGAUCAAGUGCAUUAGUGCUGGUAUGAUCGCAUCAGUUACUACAUGUAAUGCAAUCAUAUAUAUUCUUUUUUGAAGACUUUAUGAUCCAUUUGCCGUAGGUCCCACCAGUUAUGUAGGAAUACCCUAUCUCGUUUAUAAGAGCUUUGAUACAUGCAAAAUAUUCGAAAACAAUGUCCGAACAUAUAAUGUUUGCCCCAAAAUAUAGCAAAGACCACGAAAAUGCCAUAAAAAGUACAUUAAGGUCAAAAUUUGGAGUAGGAAAAAAAAUCAAUAGGAGAAUUCCAUUUUCCUUCCUCAUUCAUGGGAGAGCUCUCUUUGGGCAUUCCAAAAAGGUAUCACAUGCCAAGUUUGGCCUCACGGCCUAAAAGUUAUAGAGUAAUACAUUUUUAACAAAAAAAAAAGAGAAAAACCGAAAAAAAGAGGGAUGCAACACGAAGACUUUUCUGGAGGUCACCCAUCCUAGUACUACUCUCCCCCAAGCACGCUUAACUGUGGUGUUCUGAUAGGAUCAAGUGCAUUAGUGCUGGUAUGAUCGCAUCAGUUACUACAUGCAAUGCAAUCAUAUAUAUUCUUUUUUGAAGACUUUAUGAUCCAUUUGCCGUAGGUCCCACCAGCUAUGUAGGAAUACCCUAUCUUGUUUAUAAGAGCUUUGAUACAUGCAAAAUAUUCGAAAACAAUGUCCGAACAUAUAAUUUUUGUCCCGUAAUAUAGCAAAGAUCACGAAAAGGCCAGGAAAAAUACAUUUCGGUCAAAAUUUGGAGUAGAAAAAAAACCCUUCCUCAUUCAUUGGACAGCUCUCUUUGGGCUUUCCGAAAAGGUAUCACAUGCCAAGUUUGGCCUCACGGUCUAAACCUUAUAGACUCAUACAUUUUUCACAAAAAAAAGAAGAGAAAAACCAAAAAAAAGAGUGAUUAAACACGAGGACUUUCCUGGAGGUCACCCAUCCUAGUACUACUCUCGCCCAAGCACGCUUAACUGCGAAGUUCUGAUGGGAUCUGGUGCAUUAGUGCUGGUAUGAUCGCAUCUGUUACUACAUGCAAUGCAAUCGUAUCUAUUCUUUUUUGAAGAUUUUAUGAUUCAUUUACCGUGGGUCCCACCAGCUAUGUAGGACUAACCUAUCUUAUUUAUAAGAUCUUUGAUACAUGCAAAAUAUUGGAAAACAAUGUCCGAACAUAUAAUGUUCGCCCCAAAAUAUAGCAAAGACCACAAAAAUGCCAUAAAAAAUACAUUAAGGUCAAAAUUUGGAGUAGGAAAAAAAUCAAUAGGAGAAUUCCAUUUUCCUUCCCUCAUUCAUCGGAGAGCUCUCUUUGGGCAUUCCAAAAAGGUAUCACAUGCCAAGUUUGGCCUCACGGUCUAAAAGUUAUAGAGUAUUACAUUUUUAACAAAAAAAAACGAGAAAAACCGAUAAAAAGAGGGAUGCAACACCAAGACUUUUCUGGAGGUCACCCAUCCUAGUACUACUCUCCCCCAAGCACGCUUAACUGUGGUGUUCUGAUAGGAUCAAGUGCAUUAGUGCUGGUAUGAUCGCAUCAGUUACUACAUGCAAUGCAAUCAUAUAUAUUCUUUUUUGAAGACUUUAUGAUCCAUUUGCCGUAGGUCCCACCAGCUAUGUAGGAAUACCCUUUCUUGUUUAUAAGAGCUUUGAUACAUGCAAAAUAUUCGAAAACAAUGUCCGAACAUAUAAUUUUUGUCCCGUAAUAUAGCAAACAUCACGAAAAGGCCAGAAAAAAUACAUUUCGGUCAAAAUUUGGAGUAGAAAAAAAACCCUUCCUCAUUCAUUGGACAGCUCUCUUUGGGCUUUCCAAAAAGGUAUCACAUGCCAAGUUUGGCCUCACGGUCUAAACCUUAUAGACUCAUACAUUUUUCACAAAAAAAAGAAGAGAAAAACCAAAAAAAAGAGUGAUUAAACACGAGGACUUUCUUGGAGGUCACCCAUCCUAGUACUACUCUCGCCCAAGCACGCUUAACUGCGAAGUUCUGAUGGGAUCUGGUGCAUUAGUGCUGGUAUGAUCGCAUCUGUUACUACAUGCAAUGAAAUCGUAUCUAUUCUUUUUUGAAGAUUUUAUGAUUCAUUUACCGUGGGUCCCACCAGCUAUGUAGAAAUAACCUAUCUUAUUUAUAAGAGCUUUGAUACAUGUAAAAUAUUCGAAAACAAUGUCCGAACAUAUAAUGUUCGCCCCAAAAUAUAGCAAAGACCACAAAAAUGCCAUAAAAAGUACAUUAAGGUCAAAAUUUGGAGUAGGAAAAAAAUCAAUAAGAGAAUUCCAUUUUCCUUCCCUCAUUCAUCGGAGAUCUCUCUUUGGGCAUUCCAAAAAGGUAUCACAUGCCAAGUUUGGCCUCACGGUCUAAACGUUAUAGAGUAAUACAUUUUUAACAAAAAAAAAAGAGAAAAACCGAAAAAAAGAGGGAUGCAACACGAAGACUUUUCUGGAGGUCACCCAUCCUAGUACUACUCUCCCCCAAGCACGCUUAACUGUGGUGUUCUGAUAGGAUCAAGUGCAUUAGUGCUGGUAUGAUCGCAUCAGUUACUACAUGCAAUGCAAUCAUAUAUAUUCUUUUUUGAAGACUUUAUGAUCCAUUUGCCGUAGGUCCCACCAGCUAUGUAGGAAUACCCUUUCUUGUUUAUAAGAGCUUUGAUACAUGCAAAAUAUUCGAAAACAAUGUCCGAACAUAUUAUUUUUGUCCCGUAAUAUAGCAAAGAUCACGAAAAGGCCAGGAAAAAUACAUUUCGGUCAAAAUUUGGAGUAGAAAAAAAACCCUUCCUCAUUCAUUCGACAGCUCUCUUUGAGCUUUCCGAAAAGGUAUCACAUGCCAAGUUUGGCCUCACGGUCUAAACCUUAUAGACUCAUACAUUUUUCACAAAAAAAAAGAAGAGAAAAACCAAAAAAUAGAGUGAUUAAACGCGAGGACUUUCCUGGAGGUCACCCAUCCUAGUACUACUCUCGCCCAAGCACGCUUAACUGCGAAGUUCUGAUGGGAUCUGGUGCAUUAGUGCUGGUAUGAUCGCAUCUGUUACUACAUGCAAUGAAAUCGUAUCUAUUCUUUUUUGAUGAUUUUAUGAUUCAUUUACCGUGGGUCCCAGCAGCUAUGUAGGAAUAACCCAUCCUUGUUUAUAAGAGCUUUCAUACAUGCAAAAUAUUCAAAAACAAUGUCCGAACAUAUAAUUUUUGUCCGGUAAUAUUGCAAAGAUCACGAAAAGGCCAGAAAAAAUACAUUUCGGUCAAAAUUUGGAGUAGAAAAAAAACCCUUCCUCAUUCAUUGGACAGCUCUCUUUGGGUUUUCCGAAAAGGUAUCACAUGCCAAGUUUGGCCUCACGGUCUAAACCUUAUAGACUCAUACAUUUUUCACAAAAAAAAGAAGAGAAAAACCAAAAAAAAGAGUGAUUAAACACGAGGACUUUCCUGGAGGUCACCCAUCCUAGUACUACUCUCGCCCAAGCACGCUUAACUGCGAAGUUCUGAUGGGAUCUGGUGCAUUAGUGCUGGUAUGAUCGCAUCUGUUACUACAUGCAAUGCAAUCAUAUCUAUUCUUUUUUGAAGAUUUUAUGAUUCAUUUACCGUGGGUCCCACCAGCUAUGUAGGAAUAACCUAUCUUAUUUAUAAAAGCUUUGAUACAUGCAAAAUAUUCGAAAACAAUGUCCGAACAUAUAAUGUUCGCCCCAAAAUAUAGCAAAGACCACAAAAAUGCCAUAAAAAGUACAUUAAGGUCAAAAUUUGGAGUAGGAAAAAAAUCAAUAGGAGAAUUCCAUUUUCCUUCCCUCAUUCAUCGGAGAGCUCUCUUUGGGCAUUCCAAAAAGGUAUCACAUGCCAAGUUUGGCCUUACGGUCUAAAAGUUAUAGAGUAAUACAUUUUUAACAAAAAAAAAAGAAAAAAACCGAAAACAAAGAGGGAUGCAACACGAAGACUUUCCUGGAGGUCACCCAUCCUAGUACUACUCUCGCCCAAGCACACUUAACUGCGGUGUUCUGAUAGGAUCAAGUGCAUUAGUGCUGGUAUGAUCGCAUCAGUUACUACAUGCAAUGCAAUCAUAUAUAUUCUUUUUUGAAGACUUUAUGAUCCAUUUGCCGUAGGUCCCACCAGCUAUGUAGGAAUACCCUAUCUCGUUUAUAAGAGCUUUGAUACAUGCAAAAUAUUCGAAAACAAUGUCCGAACAUAUAAUUUUUGUCCCGUAAUAUAGCAAAGAUCACGAAAAGGCCAGAAAAAAUACAUUUCGGUCAAAAUUUGGAGUAGAAAAAAAACCCUUCCUCAUUCAUUGGACAGCUCUUUUUGGGCUUUCCGAAAAGGUAUCACAUGCCAAGUUUGGCCUCACGGUCUAAACCUUAUAGACUCAUACAUUUUUCACAAAAAAAAGAAGAGAAAAACCAAAAAAAAGAGUGAUUAAACACGAGGACUUUCCUGGAGGUCACCCAUCCUAGUACUACUCUCGCCCAAGCACGCUUAACUGCGAAGUUCUGAUGGGAUCUGGUGCAUUAGUGCUGGUAUGAUCGCAUCUGUUACUACAUGCAAUGCAAUCGUAUCUAUUCUUUUUUGAAGAUUUUAUGAUUCAUUUACCGUGGGUCCCACCAGNNNNNNNNNNNNNNNNNNNNNNNNNNNNNNNNNNNNNNNNNNNNNNNNNNUCACGGUUUAAAAGUUAUAGAGUCAUACAUUUUUCCCAAAAAAACCAAGAGAAAACCAAAAAAAAAGAGUGAUGAAACACGAGGACUUUCCUGGAGGUCACCCAUCCUAGUACUACUCUCGCCCAAGCACGCUUAACUGCGAAGUUCUGAUGGGAUCUGGUGCAUUAGUGCUGGUAUGAUCGCAUCAGUUACUACAUGCAAUGCAAUCGUAUAUAUUCUUUUUUGAAGACUUUAUGAUCCAUUUGUCGUAGGUCCCACCAGUUAUGUAGGAAUACCCUAUCUCGUUUAUAAGAGCUUUGAUACAUGCAAAAUAUUCGAAAACAAUGUCCGAACAUAUAAUGUUUGCCCCAAAAUAUAGCAAAGACCACGAAAAUGCCAUAAAAAGUACAUUAAGGUCAAAAUUUGGAGUAGGAAAAAAAUCAAUAGGAGAAUUCCAUUUUCCUUCCUCAUUCAUUGGAGAGCUCUCUUUGGGCAUUCCAAAAAGGUAUCACAUGGCAAGUUUGGCCUCACGGUCUAAAAGUUAUAGAGUAAUACAUUUUUAACAAAAAAAAAAGAGAAAAACCGAAAAAAAGAGGGAUGCAACACGAAGACUUUUCUGGAGGUCACCCAUCCUAGUACUACUCUCCCCCAAGCACGCUUAACUGUGGUGUUCUGAUAGGAUCAAGUGCAUUAGUGCUGGUAUGAUCGCAUCAGUUACUACAUGCAAUGCAAUCAUAUAUAUUCUUUUUUGAAGACGUUAUGAUCCAUUUGCCGUAGGUCCCACCAGCUAUGUAGGAACACCCUAUCUUGUUUAUAAGAGCUUUGAUACAUGCAAAAUAUUCGAAAACAAUGUCCGAACAUAUAAUUUUUGUCCCGUAAUAUAGCAAAGAUCACGAAAAGGCCAGAAAAAAUACAUUUCGGUCAAAAUUUGGAGUAGAAAAAAAACCCUUCCUCAUUCAUUGGACAGCUCUCUUUGGGCUUUCCGAAAAGGUAUCACAUGCCAAGUUUGGCCUCACGGUCUAAAAGUUAUAGAGUCAUACAUUUUUCACAAAAAAAACAAGAGAAAAACAAAAAAAAAGAGUGAUGAAACACGAGGACUUUCCUGGAGGUCACCCAUCCUAGUACUACUCUCGCCCAAGCACGCUUAACUGCGAAGUUCUGAUGGGAUCUGGUGCAUUAGUGCUGGUAUGAUCGCAUCUGUUACUACAUGCAAUGCAAUCGUAUAUAUUCUUUUUUGAAGACUUUAUGAUCCAUUUGUCGUAGGUCCCACCAGUUAUGUAGGAAUACCCUAUCUCGUUUAUAAGAGCUUUGAUACAUGCAAAAUAUUCGAAAACAAUGUCCGAACAUAUAAUGUUUGCCCCAAAAUAUAGCAAAGACCACGAAAAUGCCAUAAAAAGUACAUUAAGGUCAAAAUUUGGAGUAGGAAAAAAAAUCAAUAGGAGAAUUCCAUUUUCCUUCCUCAUUCAUUGGAGAGCUCUCUUUGGGCAUUCCAAAAAGGUAUCACAUGCCAAGUUUGGCCUCACGGUCUAAAAGUUAUAGAGUAAUACAUUUUUAACAAAAAAAAAAGAGAAAAACCGAAAAAAAGAGGGAUGCAACACGAAGACUUUUCUGGAGGUCACCCAUCCUAGUACUACUCUCCCCCAAGCACGCUUAACUGUGGUGUUCUGAUAGGAUCAAGUGCAUUAGUGCUGGUAUGAUCGCAUCAGUUACUACAUGCAAUGCAAUCAUAUAUAUUCUUUUUUGAAGACUUUAUGAUCCAUUGUCGUAGGUCCCACCAGCUAUGUAGGAAUACCCUUUCUUGUUUAUAAGAGCUUUGAUACAUGGAAAAUAUUCGAAAACAAUGUCCGAACAUAUAAUUUUUGUCCCGUAAUAUAGCAAAGAUCACGAAAAGGCCAGAAAAAAUACAUUUCGGUCAAAAUUUGGAGUAGAAAAAAAGCCCUUCCUCAUUCAUUGGACAGCUCUCUUUGGGCUUUCCGAAAAGGUAUCACAUGCCAAGUUUGGCCUCACGGUCUAAACCUUAUAGACUCAUACAUUUUUCACAAAAAAAAGAAGAGAAAAGCCAAAAAAAAAGAGUGAUUAAACACGAGGACUUUCCUGGAGGUCACCCAUCCUAGUACUACUCUCGCCCAAGCACGCUUAACUGCGAAGUUCUGAUGGGAUCUGGUGCAUUAGUGCUGGUAUGAUCGCAUCUGUUACUACAUGCAAUGAAAUCGUAUCUAUUCUUUUUUGAAGAUUUUAUGAUUCAUUUACCGUGGGUCCCACCAGCUAUGUAGGAAUAACCUAUCUUAUUUAUAAGAUCUUUGAUACAUGCAAAAUAUUGGAAAACAAUGUCCGAACAUAUAAUGUUCGCCCCAAAAUAUAGCAAAGACCACAAAAAUGCCAUAAAAAGUACAUUAAGGUCAAAAUUUGGAGUAGGAAAAAAACCAAUAAGAGAAUUCCAUUUUCCUUCCCUCAUUCAUCGGAGAUCUCUCUUUGGGCAUUCCAAAAAGGUAUCACAUGCCAAGUUUGGCCUCACGGUCUAAAAGUUAUAGAGUAAUACAUUUUUAACAAAAAAAAAAAGAGAAAAACCGAAAAAAAGAGGGAUGCAACACGAAGACUUUUCUGGAGGUCACCCAUCCUAGUACUACUCUCCCCCAAGCACGCUUAACUGUGGUGUUCUGAUAGGAUCAAGUGCAUUAGUGCUGGUAUGAUCGCAUCAGUUACUACAUGUAAUGCAAUCAUAUAUAUUCUUUUUUGAAGACUUUAUGAUCCAUGUGCCGUAGGUCCCACCAGCUAUGUAGGAAUACCCUAUCUCAUUUAUAAGAGCUUUGAUACAUGCAAAAUAUUCGAAAACAAUGUCCGAACAUAUAAUGUUUGCCCCAAAAUAUAGCAAAGACCACGAAAAUGCCAUAAAAAGUACAUUAAGGUCAAAAUUUGGAGUAGGAAAAAAAAUCAAUAGGAGAAUUCCAUUUUCCUUCCUCAUUCAUUGGAGAGCUCUCUUUGGGCAUUCCAAAAAGGUAUCACAUGGCAAGUUUGGCCUCACGGUCUAAAAGUUAUAGAGUAAUACAUUUUUAACAAAAAAAAAAGAGAAAAACCGAAAAAAAGAGGGAUGCAACACGAAGACUUUUCUGGAGGUCACCCAUCCUAGUACUACUCUCCCCCAAGCACGCUUAACUGUGGUGUUCUGAUAGGAUCAAGUGCAUUAGUGCUGGUAUGAUCGCAUCAGUUACUACAUGCAAUGCAAUCAUAUAUAUUCUUUUUUGAAGACGUUAUGAUCCAUUUGCCGUAGGUCCCACCAGCUAUGUAGGAACACCCUAUCUUGUUUAUAAGAGCUUUGAUACAUGCAAAAUAUUCGAAAACAAUGUCCGAACAUAUAAUUUUUGUCCCGUAAUAUAGCAAAGAUCACGAAAAGGCCAGAAAAAAUACAUUUCGGUCAAAAUUUGGAGUAGAAAAAAAACCCUUCCUCAUUCAUUGGACAGCUCUCUUUGGGCUUUCCGAAAAGGUAUCACAUGCCAAGUUUGGCCUCACGGUCUAAAAGUUAUAGAGUCAUACAUUUUUCACAAAAAAAACAAGAGAAAAACAAAAAAAAAGAGUGAUGAAACACGAGGACUUUCCUGGAGGUCACCCAUCCUAGUACUACUCUCGCCCAAGCACGCUUAACUGCGAAGUUCUGAUGGGAUCUGGUGCAUUAGUGCUGGUAUGAUCGCAUCUGUUACUACAUGCAAUGCAAUCGNNNNNNNNNNNNNNNNNNNNNNNNNNNNNNNNNNNNNNNNNNNNNNNNNNUAUGAUCGCAUGUGUUACUACAUGCAAUGUAAUCGUAUCUAUUCUUUUUUAAAGACUUUAUGAUCCAUUUGCCGUGAGUCCCACCAGCUAUGUAGGAAUAUUCUAUCUUCUUUAUAAGAGCUUUGAUACAUGCAAAAUACNUGGAAAACAAUGUCCGAACAUAUAAUUUUCCCCCCGUAAUAUAGCANAGAUCACGAAAAGGCCCGAAAAAGUACAUUUAGUUCANAAUUUGGAGUAGAAAAAAAAACAAUAGAAGAAUUCCAUUUUCCUUCCUCAAUCAUCGGAGAGCUCUCUUUGGGCUUUCCGAAAAGGUAUCUCAUGCCAAGUUUGGCCUCACGAACUAAAAGUUAUAGAGUCAUACAUUUUUAACAAAACAAAAUAGAGAAAAACCGAAAAAAGAGGGAUGCAACACAAGGACUUUCCGGGAGGUCACCCAUCCUAGUACUACUCUCGCCCAAGCACCCUUAACUGCGGAGUUCUGAUGGGAUCCGGUGCAUUAGUGCUGGUAUGAUCGCCCGUGUUACUACAUGCAAUGCAAUCGUAUCUAUUCUUUUUUAAAGAUUUUAUGAUCCAUUUGCCGUGGGUCCCACCAGCUAUGUAGGAAUACCCUAUCUUCUUUAUAAGAGGUUUGAUACAUACAAAAUAUUGGAUCACAAUGUCAGAACAUAUAAUUUUCCCCCCUUAAUAUAGCAAAGAUCACUAAAAGGCCCGAAAAAAUACAUUUAGUUCAAAAUUUGGAGUAGAAAAAAAAACAAUAGAAGAAUUCCAUUUUCCUUCCUCAGUUAUCGGAGAACUCUCUUUGGGCUUUCCGAAAAGGUAUCACAUGCCAAGUUUGGCCUCACGGUCUAAAAGAUAUAGAGUCAUACAUUAUUAACAAAACAAAAUAGAGAAAAACCGAAAAAAAGAAGGAUGCAACACGAGGACUUUGCGGGAGGUAAUCUAUCCUAGUACUACUCUCGCCCAAGCACCCUUAACUGCGGAGUUCUGAUGGGAUCCGGUGCAUUAGUGCUGGUAUGAUCGCAUGUGUUACUACAUGCAAUGUAAUCGUAUCUAUUCUUUUUUAAAGACUUUAUGAUCCAUUUGCCGUGGGUCCCACCAGCUAUGUAGGAAUACUCUAUCUACUUUAUAAGAGCUUUGAUACAUGCAGAAUAUUGGAAAACAACGUCCGAACAUAUAAUUUCCCCCCCCCCCCCCGUAAUAUAGCAAAAAUCACGAAAAGGCCCGAAAAAGUACAUUUAGUUCAAAAUUUGGAGUAGAAAAAAAAACAAUAGAAGAAUUUCAUUUUCCUUCCUCAGUCAUCGGAGAGCUCUCUUUGGGCUUUCCAAAAAGGUAUCACAUGCCAAGUUUGGCCUCACAGUCUAAAAGUUAUAGAGUCAUACAUUUUUAACAAAACAAAAUAGAGAAAAACCGAAAAAAAGAGGGAUGCAACACGAGGACUUUCCGGGAGGUAAUCUAUCCUAGUACUACUCUCGCCCAAGCACCCUUAACUGCGGAGUUCUGAUGGGAUCCGGUGCAGUAGUGCUGGUAUGAUUGCAUGUGUUACUACAUGCAAUGUAAUCGUAUCUAUUCUUUUUUAAAGACUUUAUGAUCCAUUUGCCGUGAGUCCCACCAGCUAUGUAGGAAUAUUCUAUCUUCUUUAUAAGAGCUUUGAUACAUGCAAAAUACUGGAAAACAGUGUCCGAACAUAUAAUUUUCCCCCCGUAAUAUAGCAAAGAUCACGAAAAGGCCCGAAAAAGUACAUUUAGUUCAAAAUUUGGAGUAGAAAAAAAAACAAUAGAAGAAUUCCAUUUUCCUUCCUCAAUCAUCGGAGAGCUCUCUUUGGGCUUUCCGAAAAGGUAUCUCAUGCCAAGUUUGGCCUCACGAACUAAAAGUUAUAGAGUCAUACAUUUUUAACAAAACAAAAUAGAGAAAAACCGAAAAAAGAGGGAUGCAACACAAGGACUUUCCAGGAGGUCACCCAUCCUAGUACUACUCUCGCCCAAGCACCCUUAACUGCGGAGUUCUGAUGGGAUCCGGUGCAUUAGUGCUGGUAUGAUCGCAUGUGUUACUACAUGCAAUGUAAUCGUAUCUAUUCUUUUUUAAAGAUUUUAUGAUCCAUUUGCCGUGGGUCCCACCAGCUAUGUAGGAAUACCCUAUCUUCUUUAUAAGAGCUUUGAUACAUACAAAAUAUUGGAUCACAAUGUCAGAACAUAUAAUUUUCCCCCCUUAAUAUAGCAAAGAUCACUAAAAGGCCCGAAAAAAUACAUUUAGUUCAAAAUUUGGAGUAGAAAAAAAAACAAUAAAAGAAUUCCAUUUUCCUUCCUCAGUUAUCGGAGAACUCUCUUUGGGCUUUCCGAAAAGGUAUCACAUGCCAAGUUUGGCCUCACGGUCUAAAAGAUAUAGAGUCAUACAUUAUUAACAAAACAAAAUAGAGAAAAACCGAAAAAAAUAGGGAUGCAACACGAGGACUAUCCUGGAGGUCACCCAUCCUAGUACUAAUCUCGCCCAACCACCCUUAACUGCGUAGUUCUGAUGGGAUCCGAUGCAUUAGUGCUGGUAUGAUCGCAUUUGUUACUAUAUGCAAUAUAAUCGUAUCUAUUCUUUUUUAAAGACUUUAUGAUCCAUUUGCCGUGGGUCCCACCAGCUAUGUAGGAUACCCUAUCUUCAUAAUAAGAGCUUUGAUAAAUGCAAAAUAUUGGAAAACAAUGUCCGAACAUAUAAUUUCCCCCCCCCCCCCCGGUAAUAUAGCAAAGAUCACGAAAUAGCCCAAAAAAGUACAUUUAGGUCAAAAUUUGAGUAGAAAAAAAACAAAUAGAGGAAUUCCAUUUUCCGUCCUCAUUCAUCGGAGAGCUCUCUUUCGGCUUUCCGAAAAGGUAUCACAUGCCAAGUUUGGCCUCACGGUCUAAAAGUUAUAGAGUCAUACAUUUUAAACAAAACAAAAUAGAGAAAAACCGAAAAAAAGAAGGAUGCAACACGAGGACUUUCCGGGAGGUCACCCAUCCUAGUACUACUCUCGCCCAAGCACCCUUAACUGCGGAGUUCUGAUGGGAUCAGGUGCAUUAGUGCUGGUAUGAUCGCAUGUGGUACUACAUGCAAUGUAAUCGUAUAUAUUCUUUUUUAAAGACUUUAUGAUCCAUUUGCCGUGGGUCCCACCAGCUAUGUAGGAAUACCCUAUCUUCUUUAUAAGAGCUUUGAUACAUGCAAAAUAUUUGAAAACAAUGUCCGAACAUAUAAUUUUCCCCCCGUUAUAUAGCAAAGAUCACGAAAAGGCCCGAAAAAGUACAUUUAGUUCAAAAUUUGGAGUAGAAAAAAAGACAAUAGAAGAAUUUCAUUUUCCUUCCUCAGUAAUCGGAGAGCUCUCUUUGGGCUUUCCGAAAAGGUAUCACAUGCCAAGUUUGGCUUCACGGUAUAAAAGUUAUAGAGUCAUACAUUUUUAACAAAAAAAAACUAGAAAAACAGAAAAAAAGAGGGAUGCAAUACGAGGACUUUCCAGGAGGUCACCCAUCCUAGUACAACUCUCGCCGAAGCACGCUUAACUGCGGUGUUCAGAUGGGAUCUGGUGCAUUAGUGCUGGUAUGAUGGCAUUUGUUACUACAUGCAAUGCAAUCGUAUCUAUUCUUUUGUAAAGACUUUAUGAUCCAUUUGCCGUGGGUUCCACCAGCUAUGUAGGAAUACCCUAUCUUGUUUAUAAGAGAUUUGAUACAUGCAAAAUAUUCGAACACAAUGUCCGAACAUAUAAUUUUUGCCCCGUAAUAUAGCAAAGAUCACGAAAAGGCCCGAAAAAGUACAUUAAGGUCAAAAUUUGGAGUAGAAAAAAAACACAAUAGAAGUAUUCCAUUGUCCUUCGUCAUUCAUCGAAGAGCUCUCUUUGGGCUUUUCGAAAUGAUAUCAUAUGCCAAGUUUGGCCUCACGGUCUAAAAUUUAUAGAGUCAUACAUUUUUAACAAAACAAAAAGAGAAAAACCGAAAAAAAGAGGGAUGCAACACGAGGACUUUCCUGGAGGUCACCCAUCCUAGUACUACUCUCGCCCAAGCACCCUUAACUGCGUAGUUCUGAUGGGAUCCGAUGCAUUAGUGCUGGUAUGAUCGAAUCUGUUACUACAUGUAAUGCAAUCAUAUAUAUUCUUUUUUGAAGACUUUAUGAUCCAUUUGCCGUAGGUCCCACCAGCUAUGUAGGAAUACCCUAUCUCGUUUAUAAGAGCUUUGAUACAUGCAAAAUAUUCGAAAACAAUGUCCGAACAUAUAAUGUUUGCCCCAAAAUAUAGCAAAGACCACGAAAAUGCCAUAAAAAGUACAUUAAGGUCAAAAUUUGGAGUAGGAAAAAAAAUCAAUAGGAGAAUUCCAUUUUCCUUCCUCAUUCAUCGGAGAGCUCUCUUUGGGCAUUCCAAAAAGGUAUGACAUGCCAAGUUUGGCCUCACGGUCUAAAAGUUAUAGAGUAAUACAUUUUUAACAAAAAAAAAAGAGAANAAACCGAAAAAAAGAGGGAUGCAACACGAAGACUUUUCUGGAGGUCAUCCAUCCUAGUACUACUCUCCCCCAAGCACGCUUAACUGUGGUGUUCUGAUAGGAUCAAGUGCAUUAGUGCUGGUAUGAUCGCAUCAGUUACUACAUGCAAUGCAAUCAUAUAUAUNNNNNNNNNNNNNNNNNNNNNNNNNNNNNNNNNNNNNNNNNNNNNNNNNNAAAGUCAAAAUUUGGAGUAGAAAAAAACCCAAUAGAAGUAUUCCAUUCUCCUUCGUCAUUCAUCGGAGAGCUCUCUUUAGGCUUUCCGAAAAGAUAUCACAUGCCAAGUUUGGCCUCACGGUUUAAAAGUUAUAGAGUCAUAGAUUUUUAACAAAACAAAAAGAGAAAAACCGAAAAAAAUUGGGAUGCAACACGAGGACUUUCCUGGAGGUCACCCAUCCUAGUACUACUCUCGCCCAAGCACCCUUAACUGCGUAGUUCUGAUGGGAUCCGAUGCUNUAGUGCUGGUAUGAUCGCAUCUGUUACUACAUGCAAUGUAAUCGUAUCUAUUCUUUNUUAAAGACUUUAUGAUCCAUUUGCCGUGGGUCCCACCAGCUAUGUAGGAAUACCCUAUCUUCUNUAUAAGAGCNUUUGAUAAAUGCANAAUAUUGGAAACCAAUGUCCGAACAUAUAAUUUCGCCCCCGUAAUAUAGCANAGAUCACGAAAAAGCCCAAAAAAGUUCAUUUAGGUCAAAAUUUGAGCAGAAGAAAAAGAAAUAGAAGAAUUCCAUUUUCCUUCCUCAUUUAUUGGAGAGCUCUCUUUGGGCUUUCCGAAAAGGUAUCACAUGCCAAGUUUGGCCUCACGGUCUAAAAGUUAUAGAGUCAUACAUUUUUAACAAAAUGAAAUAGAGAAAAACCGAAAAAAAGAGGGAUGUAACACGAGGACUUUCCGGGAGGUAAUCUAUCCUACUACUACUCUCGGCCAAGCACCCUUAACUGCGGAGUUCUAAUGGGAUCCGGUGCAUUAGUGCUGGUAUGAUCGCAUGUGUUACUACAUGCAAUGUAAUCGUAUCUAUUCUUUUUUAAAGACUUUAUGAUCCAUUUGCCGUGGGUCCCACCAGCUAUGUAGGAAUACCCUAUCUUCUUUAUAAGAGCUUUGAUACAUGCAAAAUAUAUGAAAAAAACGUCCGAACAUAUAAUUUUCCCCCCGUAAUAUAGCAAAGAUCAUGAAAAGGCCCAAAAAAGUACAUUAAUGUCAAAAUUUGGCGUAGAAAAAAAACCAAUAGACAUAUUCCAUUGUCCUUCGUCAUUCAUUGAAGAGCUCUCUUUGGGCUUUCCGAAAAGGUAUCACAUGCCAAGUUUGGCCUCACGGUCUAAAAGUUAUAGAGUCAUACAUUUUUAACAAUACAAAAUAGAGAAAAACCGAAAAAAAGAGGGAUGCAACACGAGGACUUUCCGGGAGGUAAUCCAUCCUAGUACUACUCUCGCCCAAGCACCCUUAACUGCGGAGUUCUGAUGGGACCCGGUGCAUUAGUGCUGGUAUGAUCGCAUCUGUUACUAUAUGCAAUGUAAUCGUAUCUAUUCUUUUUUAAAGACUUUAUGAUCCAUUUGCCGUGGGUCCCACCAGCUAUGUAGGAAUACCCUAUCUUCUUUAUAAGAGCUUUGAUAUAUGCAAAAUAUUGGAACACCAUGUCCGAACAUAUAAUUUUUCCCGUGUAAUAUAGCAAAGAUCAAGAAAAAGAAAAAAAAGUACAUUUAGGUCAAAAUUUGAGUAGAAAAAAACAAAUAGAAGAAUUCCAUUUUCCUUCCUCAUUCAGCUGAGAGCUCUCUUUGGGCUUUCCGAAAAGGUAUCAUAUGCCAAGUUUGGCCUCACAGUGUAAAAGUUAUAGAGUCUAACAUUUUUAACAAAACAAAAUAGAGAAAAACCAAAAAAAGAGGGAUGCAACACGAGGACUUUCUGGGAGGUCACCCAUCCUAGUACUACUCUCGCCCAAGCACCCUUAACUGCGGAGUUCUGAUGGGAUCCGGUGCAUUAGUGCUGGUAUGAUCGCAUGUGUUACUACAUGCAAUGUAAUCCUAUCUAUUCUUUCUUAAAGACUUUAUGAUCCAUUUGCCGUGAGUCCCACCAGCUAUGUAGGAAUACCCUAUCUUCUUUAUAAGAGCUUUGAUACAUGCAAAAUAUUGGAAAACAAUGUCCGAACAUAUAGUUUUCCCCCGUAAUAUAGCAAAGAUCACGAAAAGGCCCGAAAAAGUACAUUUAGUUCAAAAUUGGGAGUAGAAAAAAAAAACAAUAGAAGAAUUCCAUUUUACUUCCUCAGUCAUCGGAGAGCUCUCUUUGGGCUUUCCGAAAAGGUAUCACAUGCCCAGUUUGGCCUCACGGUCUAAAAGUUAUAAAGUCAUACAUUUUUAACAAAAAAAAAAGAGAAAAACCGAAAAAAAGAGGGAUGCAAUACGAGGACUUUCCACGAGGUCACCCAUCCUAGUACAACUCUCGCCAAAGCAUGCUUAACUGCGGAGUUUAGAUGGGAUCUGGUGCAUUAGUGCUGGUAUGAUCGCAUCUGUUACUACAUGCAAUGCAAUCGUAUCUAUUCUUAUUUAAAGACUUUAUCAUCCAUUUGCCAUGGGUCCCACCUGUAGGAAUACCCAAUCUUGUUUAUAAGAGCUUUGAUACAUGCAAAAUAUUCGAAAACAACGUCCGAACAUAUAAUUUUCGCCCCGUAAUAUAGCAAAGAUCACGAAAAGGCCCGAAAAAGUACAUUAAGGUCAAAAUUUGGAAUAGAAAAAAAAACCAAAAGAAGUAUUCCAUUGUCCUUUGUCAUUCAUCGAAGAGCUCUCUUUGGGCUUUCCGAAAAGGUAUCGCAAGCCAAGUUUGGCCUCACGGUUUAAAAGUUAUAAAGUCAUACAUUUUUAACAAAAAAAAAAAGAGAAAAAACCGAAAAAAAGAGGGAUGCAACACGAGGACUUUUCUGGAGGUCACCCAUCCUAGUACUACUCUCGCCCGAUCACCCUUAACUGCGUAGUUUUGAUGGGAUUCGAUGCAUUAGUGCUGGUAUGAUCGCAUCUGUUACUACAUGCAAUGUAAUCGUAUCUAUUCUUUUUUAAAGACUUUAUGAUCCAUUUGCCGUGGGUCCCACCAGCUAUGUAGGAAUACCCUAUCUUCUUUAUAAGAGCUUUGAUAUAUGCAAAAUAGUGGAAAACCAUGUCCGAACAUAUAAUUUUUCCCCUGUAAUAUAGCAAAGAUCAAGAAAAAGCCAAAAAAAGUAUAUUUAGGUCAAAAUUUGGAGUAGAAAAAAAAACAAUAGAAGAAUUCCAUUUUCCUUCCUCAGUCAUCGGAGAGCUCUCUUUCGGCUUUCCGAAAAGGUAUCAAAUGCCAAGUUUGGCCUCACGGUCUAAAAGUUAUAGAGUCAUACAUUUUUAACAAUACAAAGUAGAGAAAACCGGAAAAAAGAGGGAUGCAACAUGAGGACUUUCCGGGAGGUAAUCCAUCCUAGUACAACUCUUGCCCAAGCACCCUUAACUGCGGAGUUCUGAUGGAAUCCGGUGCAUUAGUGCUGGUAUGAUCGCAUGUGUUACUACAUGNNNNNNNNNNNNNNNNNNNNNNNNNNNNNNNNNNNNNNNNNNNNNNNNNNCCAAAAAGGUAUCACAUGCCAAGUUUGGCCUCNCGGUCUAAAAGUUAUAGAGUCAUACAUUUUUAACAAACCAAAAUAGAGAAAACCGGAAAAAAGAGGGAUGCAACACGAGGACUUUCCGGGAGGUCACCCAUCCUAGUACUACUUUCGCCCAAGCACCCUUAACUGCGGAGUUCUGAUGGGAUCCGGUGCAUUAGUGCUGGUAUGAUCGCAUGUGUUACUACAUGCAAUGUAAUCAUAUUUCUUGUUAUUUAAAGAUUUUAUGAUCCAUUUGCCGUGGGUCCCACCAUCUAUGUAGGAAUACCUUAUCUUCUUUAUAGGAGCUUUGAUACAUGCAAAAUAUUGGAAAACAAUAUCCGAACAUAUAUCUUUCCCCCCGUAAUAUAGCAAAGAUCGCGAAAAGGCCCGAAAAAGUACAUUUAGGUCAAAAUUUGGAGAGGAAAAAAAAAGCAAUAGAAGAAUUCCAUUUUCCUUCCUCAGUCAUCGGAGAGCUCUCUUUGGGCUUUCCGAAAAGGUAUCACAUGCCAAGUUUGGCCUCAUGGUCUAAAAGUUAUAGAGCCAUACAUUUUUAACAAAACAAAAUAGAGAAAAACCAAAAAAAGAGAGGGAUGCAACACGAGGACUUUCCGGGAGGUCACCCAUCCUAGUACUACUCUCGCCCAAGCACCCUUAACUGCGGAGUUCUGAUGGGAUCCAGUGCAUUAGUGCUGGUAUGAUCGCAUGUGUUACUACAUGCAAUGUAAUCGUAUCUAUUCUUUUUUAAAGAUUAUAUGAUCCAUUUGCCGUGGGUCCCACCAGCUAUGUAGGAAUACCCUAUCUUCUUUAUAAGAGCUUUGAUACAUGCAAAAUAUUGGAAAACAAUGUCCGAACAUAUAAUUUUCCCCCCGUAAUAUAGCAAAGAUCACGAAAAGGCCCAAAAAAGUACAUUUAGGUCAAAAUUUGGAGUUGAAAAAAAACAAAAAGAAGAAUUCCAUUUUCCUUCCUCAUUCAUUGGAGAGCUCUCUUUGGGCUUUCCGAAAAGGUAUCACAUGCCAUGUUUAGCCUCACGGUCUAAAAGUUAUAGAGUCAUACAUUUUUAACAAAACAAAAUAGAGAAAAACCAAAAAAACGAGGGAUGCAACACGAGGACUUUCUGGGAAGUCACCCAUCCUAGUACUACUCUCGCCCAAGCACCCUUAACUGCGGAGUUCUGAUGGGAUCCGGUGCAUUAGUGCUGGUAUGAUCGCAUGUGUUACUACAUGCAAUGUAAUCGUAUCUAUUGCUUUUAAAGACUUUAUGAUCCAUUUGCCGUGGGUCCCACCAGCUAUGUAGGAAUACCCUAUCUUCUUUAUAAGAGUUUUCAUACAUGCAAAAUAUUGGAAAACAAUGUCCGAACAUAUAAUUUUCCCCCCGUAAUAUAGCAAAGAUCACGAAAAGGCCCAAAAAAGUACAUUUAGUUCAAAAUUUGGAGUAGAAAAAAAAAUAAUAGAAAAUUUCCAAUUUCCUUCUUCAUUCAUCGGAGAGCUCUCUUUGGGCUUUCCGAAAAGGUAUCACAUGCCAAGUUUGGCCUCACGGUCUAAAAGUUAUAAAGUCAUACAUUUUUAACAAAACAAAAUAGAGAAAAACGGAAAAAGAGGGAUGCAACACGUGGACUUUCCGGGAGGUCACCCAUCCUAGUACUACUCUCGUCCAAGGACCCUUAACUGCGGAGUUCUGUUGGGAUCCGUUGCAUUAGUGCUGGUAUGAUCGCAUGUGUUACUACAUGCAAUGUAAUCGUAUCUAUUCUUUUUUAAAGACUUUAUGAUCCAUUUGCCGUGGGUCCCACCAACUAUGUAGGAAUACCCUAUCUUCUUUAUAAGAGCUUUGAUACAUGCAAAAUAUUGGAAAACAAUGUCCGAACACAUAAUUUUUCCCCCAUAAUAUAACAAAGAUCACGAAAAGGCCCGAAAUAGUACAUUUAGUUCAAAAUUUGGAGUAGAAAAAAAACCAGUUUAAGAAUUCCAUUUUCCUUCCUCAUUCAUCGGAGAGCUCUCUUUGGACUUUCCGAAAAGGUAUCACAUGCCAAGUUUGGCCUCACGGUCUAAAAGUUAUAGAGUCAUACAUUUUUAACAAAACAAAAUAGAGAAAAACAGAAAAAAGAGGGAUGCAACACGAGGACUUUCCGGGAGGUCACCCAUCCUAGUACUACUCUCGCCCAAGCACCCUUAACUGCAGAGUUCUGCUGGGAUCCGGUGCAUUAGUGCUGGUAUGAUCGCAUCUGUUACUACAUGCAAUGUAAUCGUAUCUAUUCUUUUUUAAAGCUUUUAUGAUCCAUUUGCCGUGGGUCCCACCAGCUAUGUAGGAAUACCCUAUCUUCUUUAUAAGAGCUUUGAUACAUGCAAAAUAUUGGAAAACAAUGUCCGAACAUAUAAUUUCCCCCCUCGUAAUAUAGCAAAGAUCACAAAAAGGCUCGAAAAAGUACAUUUAGUUCAAAAUUUGGAGUAGAAAAAAACCAACAGAAAAAUUCCAAUUUCCUCCCUCAUUCAUCGGAGAGCUCUCUUUGGGCUUUCCAAAAAGGUAUCACAUGCCAAGUUUGGCCUCACGGUCUAAAAGUUAUAGAGUCAUACAUUUUUAACAAAACAAAAUAGAGAAAAACGGAAAAAAGAGGGAUGCAACACGAGGACUUUCCGGGAGGUCACCCAUCCUAGUACUACUCUCGUCCAAGGACCCUUAACUGCGAAGUUCUGAUGGGAUCCGUUGCAUUAGUGCUGGUAUGAUCGCAUGUGUUACUACAUGCAAUGUAAUCGUAUCUAUUCUUUUUUAAAGACUUUAUGAUCCAUUUGCCGUGGGUCCCACCAGCUAUAUAGGAAAACCCAAUCUUCUUUAUAAGAGCUUUGAUACAUGCAAAAUAUUGGAAAACAAUGUCCGAACAUAUAAUUUUCCCCCAUAAUAUAGCAAAGAUCACGAAAAGGCCCGAAAAAGUACAUUUAGUUCAAAAUUUGGAGUAGAAAAAAAGACAGUAAAAGAAUUCCAUUUUCCUUCCUCAGUGAUCGGAGAGCUCUCUUUGGACUUUCCGAAAAGGUAUCACAUGCCAAGUUUGGCCUCACGGUCUAAAAGUUAUAGAGUCAUACAUUUUUAACAAAACAAAAUAGAGAAAAACGGAAAAAAGAGGGAUGCAACACGAGGACUUUCCGGGAGGUCACCCAUCCUAGUACUACUUUCGCCCAAGCACCCUUAACUGCGGAGUUCUGAUGGGAUCCGGUGCAUUAGUGCUGGUAUGAUCGCAUGUGUUACUACAUGCAAUGUAAUCAUAUUUCUUGUUAUUUAAAGAUUUUAUGAUCCAUUUGCCGUGGGUCCCACCAUCUAUGUAGGAAUACCUUAUCUUCUUUAUAGGAGCUUUGAUACAUGCAAAAUAUUGGAAAACAAUAUCCGAACAUAUAUCUUUCCCCCCGUAAUAUAGCAAAGAUCGCGAAAAGGCCCGAAAAAGUACAUUUAGGUCAAAAUUUGGAGAAGAAAAAAAAAGCAAUAGAAGAAUUCCAUUUUCCUUCCUCAGUCAUCGGAGAGCUCUCUUUGGGCUUUCCGAAAAGGUAUCACAUGCCAAGUUUGGCCUCAUGGUCUAAAAGUUAUAGAGCCAUACAUUUUUAACAAAACAAAAUAGAGAAAAACCAAAAAAAGAGAGGGAUGCAACACGAGGACUUUCCGGGAGGUCACCCAUCCUAGUACUACUCUCGCCCAAGCACCCUUAACUGCGGAGUUCUGAUGGGAUCCAGUGCAUUAGUGCUGGUAUGAUCGCAUGUGUUACUACAUGCAAUGUAAUCGUAUCUAUUCUUUUUUAAAGAUUAUAUGAUCCAUUUGCCGUGGGUCCCACCAGCUAUGUAUGAAUACCCUAUCUUCUUUAUAAGAGCUUUGAUACAUGCAAAAUAUUGGAAAACAAUGUCCGAACAUAUAAUUUUCCCCCCGUAAUAUAGCAAAGAUCACGAAAAGGCCCAAAAAAGUACAUUUAGGUCAAAAUUUGGAGUUGAAAAAAAACAAAAAGAAGAAUUCCAUUUUCCUUCCUCAUUCAUUGGAGAGCUCUCUUUGGGCUUUCCGAAAAGGUAUCACAUGCCAUGUUUAGCCUCACGGUCUAAAAGUUAUAGAGUCAUACAUUUUUAACAAAACAAAAUAGAGAAAAACCAAAAAAACGAGGGAUGCAACACGAGGACUUUCUGGGAAGUCACCUAUCCUAGUACUACUCUCGCCCAAGCACCCUUAACUGCGGAGUUCUGAUGGGAUCCGGUGCAUUAGUGCUGGUAUGAUCGCAUGUGUUACUACAUGCAAUGUAAUCGUAUCUAUUGCUUUUAAAGACUUUAUGAUCCAUUUGCCGUGGGUCCCACCAGCUAUGUAGGAAUACCCUAUCUUCUUUAUAAGAGUUUUCAUACAUGCAAAAUAUUGGAAAACAAUGUCCGAACAUAUAAUUUUCCCCCCGUAUAUAGCAAAGAUCACGAAAAGGCCCAAAAAAGUCCUUUAAGGUCAAAAUUUGAAGUUGAAAAAAAACAAAAAGAAAAAUUCCAUUUUCCUUCCUCAUUCAUUGAAAAGCUCUCUUUGGGCUUUCCGAAAAGGUAUCACAUGCCAUGUUUAGCCUCACGGUCUAAAAGUUAUAGAGUCAUACAUUUUUAACAAAACAAAAUAGAGAAAAACCAAAAAAACGAGGGAUGCAACACGAGGACUUUCUGGGAAGUCACCUAUCCUAGUACUACUCUCGCCCAAGCACCCUUAACUGCGGAGUUCUGAUGGGAUCCGGUGCAUUAGUGCUGGUAUGAUCGCAUGUGUUACUACAUGCAAUGUAAUCGUAUCUAUUGCUUUUAAAGACUUUAUGAUCCAUUUGCCGUGGGUCCCACCAGCUAUGUAGGAAUACCCUAUCUUCUUUAUAAGAGUUUUCAUACAUGCAAAAUAUUGGAAAACAAUGUCCGAACAUAUAAUUUUCCCCCCGUAAUAUAGCAAAGAUCACGAAAAGGCCCAAAAAAGUACAUUUAGUUCAAAAUUUGGAGUAGAAAAAAAAACAAUAGAAAAUUUCCAAUUUCCUUCUUCAUUCAUCGGAGAGCUCUCUUUGGGCUUUCCGAAAAGGUAUCACAUGCCAAGUUUGGCCUCACGGUCUAAAAGUUAUAAAGUCAUACAUUUUUAACAAAACAAAAUAGAGAAAAACGGAAAAAGAGGGAUGCAACACGUGGACUUUCCGGGAGGUCACCCAUCCUAGUACUACUCUCGUCCAAGGACCCUUAACUGCGGAGUUCUGUUGGGAUCCGUUGCAUUAGUGCUGGUAUGAUCGCAUGUGUUACUACAUGCAAUGUAAUCGUAUCUAUUCUUUUUUAAAGACUUUAUGAUCCAUUUGCCGUGGGUCCCACCAACUAUGUAGGAAUACCCUAUCUUCUUUAUAAGAGCUUUGAUACAUGCAAAAUAUUGGAAAACAAUGUCCGAACAUAUAAUUUUUCCCCCAUAAUAUAACAAAGAUCACGAAAAGGCCCGAAAAAGUACAUUUAGUUCAAAAUUUGGAGUAGAAAAAAACCAGUUUAAGAAUUCCAUUUUCCUUCCUCAUUCAUCGGAGAGCUCUCUUUGGACUUUCCGAAAAGGUAUCACAUGCCAAGUUUGGCCUCACGGUCUAAAAGUUAUAGAGUCAUACAUUUUUAACAAAACAAAAUAGAGAAAAACAGAAAAAAGAGGGAUGCAACACGAGGACUUUCCGGGAGGUCACCCAUCCUAGUACUACUCUCGCCCAAGCACCCUUAACUACAGAGUUCUGCUGGGAUCCGGUGCAUUAGUGCUGGUAUGAUCGCAUCUGUUACUACAUGCAAUGUAAUCGUAUCUAUUCUUUUUUAAAGCUUUUAUGAUCCAUUUGCCGUGGGUCCCACCAGCUAUGUAGGAAUACCCUAUCUUCUUUAUAAGAGCUUUGAUACAUGCAAAAUAUUGGAAAACAAUGUCCGAACAUAUAAUUUCCCCCCUCGUAAUAUAGCAAAGAUCACAAAAAGGCUCGAAAAAGUACAUUUAGGUCAAAAUUUGGAGUAGAAAAAAAAACAAUAGAAGAAUUCCAUUUUCCUUCCUCAGUCAUUGGAGAGAUCUCUUUGGGCUUUGCGAAAAGGUAUCACAUGCCAAGUUUGGCCUCACGGUCUAAAAGUUAUAAAGUCAUACGUUUUUAGCAAAAAAAAAAGAGAAAAACCGAAAAAAAGAGGGAUGCAACACGAGGUCACCCAUUCUAGUACUACUCUCGCCCAAGCACCCUUAACUGCGUAGUUCUGAUGGGAUCUGAGGCAUUAGUGCUUGUAUGAUCGCAUCUGUUACUACAUGCAAUGUAAUCGUAAAUAUUCUUUUUUAAAGACUUUAUUAUCCAUUUGCCGUGGGUCCAACCAGCUAUGUAGGGAUACCCUAUCUUCUUUAUAAGAGCUUUGACACAUGCAAAAUAUUGGAAAAGAAUGUCCGAACAUAUUCUUUUCCCCCCGUAAUAUAGCAAAGAUCACGAAAAGGCCCGAAAAUGUAUAUUAAGUUCAAAAUUUGGAGUAGAAAAAAAAAACAAUAGAUGAAUUCCAUUUUCCUUCCUCAUUCAUUGGAGAGCUCUCUUUGGGCUUUCCGAAAAGGUAUGACAUUUCAAGUUUGGCCUCAUGGUCUCAAAGUUAUAAAGUCAUACAUUUUUCACAAAAAAAAAAAAAAGAAAAACCAAAAAAAAAAAGAGGGAUGUAACACGAGGACUUUUUUGGGAGGUCACCCAUCCUAGUACUACUCUCGCCCAAGCACGCUUAACUGCGGAGUUCUGAUGGGAUCCAGUUCAUUAGUGCUGGUAUGAUCGCAUGUGUUACUAUAUGCAAUGUAAUCGUAUCUAUUCUUUUUUAAUGACUUUAUGAUCCAUUUGCUGUGAGUCCCACCAGCUAUGUAGGAAUACCCUAUCUUCUCUAUAAGAGCUUUGAUACAUGCAAAAUAUUGGAAAACAAUGUCCGAACAUAUAGUUUUCCCCCCGUAAUAUAGCAAAGAUCACGAAAAGGCCCGAAAAGGUACAUUUAGUUCAAAAUUUGGAGUAGAAGAAAAAACAAUAGAAGAAUUCCAUUUCCCUUCCUCAGUCAUCGGAGAGCUCUCUUUGGGCUUUCCAAAAAGGUAUCACAUGCCAAGUUUGGCCUCACGGUCUAAAAGUUAUAGAGUCAUACAUUUUUAACAAUACAAAAUAGAGAAAAACCGAAAAAAAAGAGGGAUGCAACACGAGGACUUUCCGGGAGGUAAUCCAUCCUAGUACUACUCUCGCCCAAGCACCCUUAACUGCGGAGUUCUGAUGGGAUCCGAUGCAUUAGUGCUGGUAUGAUCGCAUGUGUUACUACAUGCAAUGUAAUCGUAUCUAUUCUUUUUUAAAGACUUUAUGAUCCAUUUGCCGUGGGUCCCACCAGCUAUGUAGGAUUAGCCUAUCUUGUUUAUAAGAGCUUUGAUACAUGCAAAAUAUUGGAAACCAAUGUCCAAACAUAUAAUUUUCACCCCGUAAUAUAGCAAAGAUCACGAAAAGUCCCGAAAAAGUACAUUUAGGUCAAAAUUUGGAAUAGAAAAAAAAAAAAUAGGAGUAUUCCAUUUUCCUUCCUCAUUCAUCGGAGAGCUCUCUUUGAGCUUUCUGAAAAGGUAUCACAUGCCAAGUUUGGCCUCACGGUCUAAAAGUUAUAGAGUCAUACAUUUUUAAAAAUACAAAAUAGAGAAAAACCGAAGAAAAGAGGGAUGCAACACGAGGACUUUCCGGGAGGUAAUCCAUCCUAGUACUACUCUCGCCCAAGCACCCUUAACUGCGAAGUUCUAAUGGAAUCCGGUACAUUAGUGCUGGUAUGAUCGCAUCUGUUACUAUAUGCAAUGUAAUCGUAUCUAUUCUUUUUUAAAGACUUUAUGAUCCAUUUGCCGUGGGUCUCACCAGCUAUGUAGGAAUACCCUAUCUUCUUUAUAAGAGCUUUGAUAUAUGCAAAAUAUUGGAACACCAUGUCCGAACAUAUAAUUUUUCCCGUGUAAUAUAGCAAAGAUCAAGAAAAAGCCAAAAAAGUACAUUUAGGUCAAAAUUUGAGUAGAAAAAAACAAAUAGAAGAAUUCUAUAUUCCUUCCUCAUUCGUCGGAGAGCUCUCUUUGGGCUUUCCGAAAAGGUAUCAUAUGCCAAGUUUGGCCUCGCGGUCUAAAAGUUACGGAGUCUAACAUUUUUAACAAAACAAAAUAGAGAAAAACCGAAAAAAGAGGGAUGCAACACGAGGACUUUCCGGGAGGUCACCCAUCCUAGUACUACUCUCGCCCAAGCACCCUUAACUGCGGAGUUCUGAUGGGAUCCGGUGCAUUAGUGCUGGUAUGAUCGCAUGUGUUACUACAUGCAAUGUAAUCGUAUCUAUUCUUUCUUAAAGACUUUAUGAUCCAUUUGCCGUGAGUCCCACCAGCUAUGUAGGAAUACCCUAUCUUCUUUAUAAGAGCUUUGAUACAUGCAAAAUAUUGGAAAACAAUGUCCGAACAUAUAGUUUUCCCCCCGUAAUAUAGCAAAGAUCACGAAAAGGCCCGAAAAAGUACAUUUAGUUCAAAAUUUGGAGUAGAAAAAAAAACAAUAGAAGAAUUCCAUUUUCCUUCCUCAUUCAUCGGAGAGCUCUCUUUGGGCUUUCCGAAAAAGUAUCACAUGCCAAGUUUGGCCUCACGGUCUAAACGUUAUAGAGUCAUACAUUUUUAACAAUACAAAAUAGAGAAAAACCGAAAAAAGAGGGAUGCUACACGAAGACUUUCCGGGAGGUAAUCCAUCCUAGUACUACUCUUGCCCAAGCACCCUUAACUGCGGAGUUCUGAUGGAAUCUGGUGCAUUAGUGCUGGUAUGAUCGCAUGUGUUACUACAUGCAAUGUAAUCGUAUCUAUUCUUUUUUAAAGACUUUAUGAUCCAUUUGCCGUGGGUCCCACCAGCUAUGUAGGAAUACCCUAUUUUCUUUAUAAGAGCUUUGAUACAUGCAAAAUAUAUGAAAAAAACGUUCGAACAUAUAAUUUUCCCCCCGUAAUAUAGCAAAGAUCACGAAAAGGCUCGAAAAAUUACAUUUAGUUCAAAAUUUUUAGUAGAAAAAACCCAAUAGAAGAAUUCCAUUUUCCUUCCUCAGUCAUCGGAGAGCUCUCUUUGGGCUUUCCGAAAAGGUAUCACAUGCCAAGUUUGGCCUCACGGUCUAAAAGUUAUAGAGUCAUACAUUUUUAACAAAACAAAAUUGAGAAAAACCGAAAAAAAGAGGGAUGCAACACGAGGACUCUCCAAAAGGUAACCCAUCUUAGUACUACUCUCGCCCAAGCACCCUUAACUGCGGAGUUCUGAUGGGACCCGGUGCAUUUGUGCUGGUAUGAUCGCAUGUGUCACUACAUGCAAUGUAAUCGUAUCUAUUCUUUUUUAAAGACUUUAUGAUCCAUUUGCAGUGGGUCCUACCAGCUAUGUAGGAAUACCCUACCUUCUUUAUAAGAGCUUUCAUACAUGCAUAAUAUUGGAAAACAAUGUCCGAAGAUAUAAUUUUCCCCCCAUAAUAUAGCAAAGAUCACGAAAAGGCCCGAAAAAGUACAUUAUGUUCAAAAUUUGGAGUCGAAAAAAAACCAAUAGAAGAAUUCCAUUUUACUUCCUUAGUCAUCGGAGAGCUCUCUUUGGGCUUUCCGAAAAGGUAUCACAUGCCAAGUUUGGCCUCACGGUCUAAAAGUUAUAGAGUCAUACAUUUUUAACAAAACAAAAUAGAGAAAAACGGGAAAAAAGAGGGAUGUAACACGAGGACAUUCCGGGAGGUCACCCAUCCUAGUACUACUCUUGCCCAAGCACCCUUAACUGCGGAGUUCUUAUGGGAUCCGGUGCAUUAGUGUUGGUAUGAUCGCAUGUGUUACUACAUGCAAUGUAAUCGUAUCUAUUCUUUUUAAAGACUUUAUGAUCCAUUUGCCGUGGGUCCCACCAGCUAUGUAGGAAUACCCUAUCUUCUUUAUAAGAGCUUUGAUACAUGUAAAAUAUUGGAAAACAAUGUCCGAAGAUAUAAUUUUCCCCCGUAAUAUAGCAAAGAUCACGAAAAGGCCCGAAAAUGUACAUUAAGUUCAAAAUUUGGAGUAGAAAAAAAAAACAAUAGAAGAAUUCCAUUUUCCUUCCUCAUUCAUCGGAGAGCUCUCUUUGGGCUUUCCGAAAAGGUAUGACAUUCCAAGUUUGGCCUCAUGGUCUCAAAUUUAUAAAGUCAUACAUUUUUCACAAAAAAAAAAUAAAGAAAAACCAAAAAAAAAAAAGAGGGAUGUAACACGAGGACUUUUUUGGGAGGUCACCCAUCCUAGUACUACUCUCGCCCAAGCACGCUUAACUGCGGAGUUCUGAUGGGAUCCGGUUCAUUAGUGCUGGUAUGAUCACAUGUGUUACUACAUGCAAUGUAAUCGUAUCUAUUCUUUUUUAAAGACUUUAUGAUCCAUUUGCCGUGAGUCCCACCAGCUAUGUAGGAAUACCCUAUCUUCUCUAUAAGAGCUUUGAUACAUGCAAAAUAUUGGAAAACAAUGUCCGAACAUAUAGUUUUCCCCCCGUAAUAUAGCAAAGAUCACGAAAAGGCCCGAAAAAGUACAUUUAGUUCAAAAUUUGGAGUAGAAAAAAAAACAAUAAAAGAAUUUCAUUUCCCUUCCUCAGUCAUCGGAGAGCUCUCUUUGGGCUUUCCAAAAAGGUAUCACAUGCCAAGUUUGGCCUCACGGUCUAAAAGUUAUAGAGUCAUACAUUUUUAACAAUACAAAAUAGAGAAAAACCGAAAAAAAAGAGGGAUGCAACACGAGGACUUUCCGGGAGGUAAUCAAUCCUAGUACUACUCUAGCCCAAGCACCCUUAACUGCGGAGUUCUAAUGGAAUCCAGUGCAUUAGUGCGGGUAUGAUCGCAUGUGUUACUACAUGCAAUGUAAUCGUAUCUAUUCUUUUUUAAAGACUUUAUGAUCCAUUUGCCGUGGGUCCCACCAGCUAUGUAGGAAUACACUAUCUUCUUUAUAAGAGCUUUGAUACAUGCAAAAUAUUGGAAAAAAACGUCCGAACAUAUAAUUUUCCCCACGUAAUAUAGCAAAGAUCACGAAAAUGCCCCAAAAAGUACAUUUAGUUCAAAAUUUGGAGUAGAAAAAAAAACAAUAGAAGAAUUACAUUUUCCUUCCUCACUCAUCGGAGAGCUCUCUUUGGGCUUUUCGAAAAGGUACCACAUGCCAAGUUUGGCCUCACGGUCUAAAAGUUAUAGAGUCAUACAUUUUUAACAAAAUAAAAUUGAGAAAAACCGAAAAAAAGAGGGAUGCAACACGAGGACUCUCCAGAAGGUAACCCAUCUUAGUACUACUCUCGCUCUUGCACCCUUAACUAUGGAGUUCUGAUGGGACCCGGUGCAUUAGUGCUGGUAUGAUCGCAUCUGUUACUAUAUGCAAUGUAAUCGUAUCUAUUCUUUUUUAAAGACUUUAUGAUCCAUUUGCCGUGGGUCCCACCAGCUAUGUAGGAAUACCCUAUCUUCUUUAUAAGAGCUUUGAUAUAUGCAAAAUAUUGGAUUACCAUGUCCGAACAUAUAAUUUUUCCCGUGUAAUAUAGCAAAGAUCAAGAAAAAGCCAAAAAAGUACAUUUAGGUCAAAAUUUGAGUAGAAAAAAACAAAUAGAAGAAUUCCAUUUUCCUUCCUCAUUCACCGUAGAGCUCUCAUUGGGCUUUCCGAAAAGGUAUCAUAUGCCAAGUUUGGCCUCACGGUCUAAAAGUUAUAGAGUCUAACAUUCUUAACAAAACAAAAUAGAGAAAAACCGAAAAAAGAGGGAUGCAACACGAGGACUUUCCGGGAGGUCACCCAUCCUAGUACUACUCUCGCCCAAGGACCCUUAACUGCGGAGUUCUGAUGGGAUCCGUUGCAUUAGUGCUGGUAUGAUCGCAUGUGUUACUACAUGCAAUGUAAUCGUAUCUAUUCUUUCUUAAAGACUUUAUGAUCCAUUUGCCGUGCGUCCCACCAGCUAUGUAGGAAUACCCUAUCUUCUUUAUAAGAGCUUUGAUACAUGCAAAAUAUUGGAAAACAAUGUCCGAACAUAUAGUUUUCCCCCCGUAAUAUAGCAAAGAUCACGAAAAGGCCCGAAAAAGUACAUUUAGUUCAAAAUUUGGAGUAGAAAAAAAAACAAUAGAAGAAUUCCAUUUUCCUUCCUCAGUCAUCGGAGAGCUCUCUUUGGGCUUUCCGAAAAGGUAUCACAUGCCAAGUUUGGCCUCACGGUCUAAACGUUAUAGAGUCAUACAUUUUUAACAAUACAAAAUAGAGAAAAACCGAAAAAAAGAGGGAUGCAACACGAAGACUUUCCGGGAGGUAAUCCAUCCUAGUACUACUCUUGCCAAAGCACCCUUAACUGCGGAGUUCUGAUGGAAUCUGGUGCAUUAGUGCUGGUAUGAUCGCAUGUGUUACUACAUGCAAUGUAAUCGUAUCUAUUCUUUUUUAAAGACUUUAUGAUCCAUUUGCCGUGGGUCCCACCAGCUAUGUACGAAUACCCUAUCUUCUUUAUAAGAGCUUUGAUACAUGCAAAAUAUAUGAAAAAAACGUCCGAACAUAUAAUUUUCCCCCCGUAAUAUAGCAAAGAUCAUGAAAAGGCCCAAAAAAGUACAUUAAGGUCAAAAUUUGGCGUAGAAAAAAAACCAAUAGACAUAUUCCAUUGGCCUUCGUCAUUCAUUGGAGAGCUCUCUUUGGGCUUUCCGAAAAGGUAUCACAUGCCAAGUUUGGCCUCACGGUCUAAAAGUUAUAGAGUCAUACAUUUUUAACAAUACAAAAUAGAGAAAAACCGAAAAAAAGAGGGAUGCAACACGAGGACUUUCCGGGAGGUAAUCCAUCCUAGUACUACUCUCGCCCAAGCACCCUUAACUGCGGAGUUCUAAUGGAAUCCGGUGCAUUAGUGCUGGUAUGAUCGCAUCUGUUACUAUAUGCAAUGUAAUCGUAUCUAUUCUUUUUUAAAGACUUUAUGAUCCAUUUGCCGUGGGUCCCACCAGCUAUGUAGGAAUACCCUAUCUUCUUUAUAAGAGCUUUGAUAUAUGCAAAAUAUUGGAUUACCAUGUCCGAACAUAUAAUUUUUCCCGUGUAAUAUAGCAAAGAUCAAGAAAAAGCCAAAAAAGUACAUUUAGGUCAAAAUUUGAGUAGAAAAAAACAAAUAGAAGAAUUCCAUUUUCCUUCCUCAUUCACCGCAGAGCUCUCUUUGGGCUUUCCGAAAAGGUAUCAUAUGCCAAGUUUGGCCUCACGGUCUAAAAGUUAUAGAGUCUAACAUUUUUAACAAAACAAAAUAGAGAAAAACCGAAAAAAGAGGGAUGCAACACGAGGACUUUCCGGGAGGUCACCCAUCCUAGUACUACUCUCGCCCAAGGACCCUUAACUGCGGAGUUCUGAUGGGAUCCGUUGCAUUAGUGCUGGUAUGAUCGCAUGUGUUACUACAUGCAAUGUAAUCGUAUCUAUUCUUUCUUAAAGACUUUAUGAUCCAUUUGCCGUGCGUCCCACCAGCUAUGUAGGAAUACCCUAUCUUCUUUAUAAGAGCUUUGAUACAUGCAAAAUAUUGGAAAACAAUGUCCGAACAUAUAGUUUUCCCCCCGUAAUAUAGCAAAGAUCACGAAAAGGCCCGAAAAAGUACAUUUAGUUCAAAAUUUGGAGUAGAAAAAAAAACAAUAGAAGAAUUCCAUUUUCCUUCCUCAGUCAUCGGAGAGCUCUCUUUGGGCUUUCCGAAAAGGUNNNNNNNNNNNNNNNNNNNNNNNNNNNNNNNNNNNNNNNNNNNNNNNNNNGAGAAAAACCGAAAAAAGAGGGAUGCAACACGAGGACUUUCCGGGAGGUCACCCAUCCUAGUACUACUCUCGCCCAAGGACCCUUAACUGCGGAGUUCUGAUGGGAUCCGUUGCAUUAGUGCUGGUAUGAUCGCAUGUGUUACUACAUGCAAUGUAAUCGUAUCUAUUCUUUCUUAAAGACUUUAUGAUCCAUUUGCCGUGCGUCCCACCAGCUAUGUAGGAAUACCCUAUCUUCUUUAUAAGAGCUUUGAUACAUGCAAAAUAUUGGAAAACAAUGUCCGAACAUAUAGUUUUCCCCCCGUAAUAUAGCAAAGAUCACGAAAAGGCCCGAAAAAGUACAUUUAGUUCAAAAUUUGGAGUAGAAAAAAAAACAAUAGAAGAAUUCCAUUUUCCUUCCUCAGUCAUCGGAGAGCUCUCUUAGGGCUUUCCGAAAAGGUAUCACAUGCCAAGUUUGGCCUCACGGUAUAAACGUUAUAGAGUCAUACAUUUUUAACAAUACAAAAUAGAGAAAAACCGAAAAAAAGAGGGAUGCAACACGAAGACUUUCCGGGAGGUAAUCCAUCCUAGUACUACUCUUGCCAAAGCACCCUUAACUGCGGAGUUCUGAUGGAAUCUGGUGCAUUAGUGCUGGUAUGAUCGCAUGUGUUACUACAUGCAAUGUAAUCGUAUCUAUUCUUUUUUAAAGACUUUAUGAUCCAUUUGCCGUGGGUCCCACCAGCUAUGUACGAAUACCCUAUCUUCUUUAUAAGAGCUUUGAUACAUGCAAAAUAUAUGAAAAAAACGUCCGAACAUAUAAUUUUCCCCCCGUAAUAUAGCAAAGAUCAUGAAAAGGCCCAAAAAAGUACAUUAAGGUCAAAAUUUGGCGUAGAAAAAAAACCAAUAGACAUAUUCCAUUGGCCUUCGUCAUUCAUUGGAGAGCUCUCUUUGGGCUUUCCGAAAAGGUAUCACAUGCCAAGUUUGGCCUCACGGUCUAAAAGUUAUAGAGUCAUACAUUUUUAACAAUACAAAAUAGAGAAAAACCGAAAAAAAGAGGGAUGCAACACGAGGACUUUCCGGGAGGUAAUCCAUCCUAGUACUACUCUCGCCCAAGCACCCUUAACUGCGGAGUUCUAAUGGAAUCCGGUGCAUUAGUGCUGGUAUGAUCGCAUCUGUUACUAUAUGCAAUGUAAUCGUAUCUAUUCUUUUUUAAAGACUUUAUGAUCCAUUUGCCGUGGGUCCCACCAGCUAUGUAGGAAUACCCUAUCUUCUUUAUAAGAGCUUUGAUAUAUGCAAAAUAUUGGAUUACCAUGUCCGAACAUAUAAUUUUUCCCGUGUAAUAUAGCAAAGAUCAAGAAAAAGCCAAAAAAGUACAUUUAGGUCAAAAUUUGAGUAGAAAAAAACAAAUAGAAGAAUUCCAUUUUCCUUCCUCAUUCACCGCAGAGCUCUCUUUGGGCUUUCCGAAAAGGUAUCAUAUGCCAAGUUUGGCCUCACGGUCUAAAAGUUAUAGAGUCUAACAUUUUUAACAAAACAAAAUAGAGAAAAACCGAAAAAAGAGGGAUGCAACACGAGGACUUUCCGGGAGGUCACCCAUCCUAGUACUACUCUCGCCCAAGGACCCUUAACUGCGGAGUUCUGAUGGGAUCCGUUGCAUUAGUGCUGGUAUGAUCGCAUGUGUUACUACAUGCAAUGUAAUCGUAUCUAUUCUUUCUUAAAGACUUUAUGAUCCAUUUGCCGUGCGUCCCACCAGCUAUGUAGGAAUACCCUAUCUUCUUUAUAAGAGCUUUGAUACAUGCAAAAUAUUGGAAAACAAUGUCCGAACAUAUAGUUUUCCCCCCGUAAUAUAGCAAAGAUCACGAAAAGGCCCGAAAAAGUACAUUUAGUUCAAAAUUUGGAGUAGAAAAAAAAACAAUAGAAGAAUUCCAUUUUCCUUCCUCAGUCAUCGGAGAGCUCUCUUUGGGCUUUCCGAAAAGGUAUCACAUGCCAAGUUUGGCCUCACGGUCUAAACGUUAUAGAGUCAUACAUUUUUAACAAUACAAAAUAGAGAAAAACCGAAAAAAAGAGGGAUGCAACACGAAGACUUUCCGGGAGGUAAUCCAUCCUAGUACUACUCUUGCCAAAGCACCCUUAACUGCGGAGUUCUGAUGGAAUCUGGUGCAUUAGUGCUGGUAUGAUCGCAUGUGUUACUACAUGCAAUGUAAUCGUAUCUAUACUUUUUUAAAGACUUUAUGAUCCAUUUGCCGUGGGUCCCACCAGCUAUGUACGAAUACCCUAUCUUCUUUAUAAGAGCUUUGAUACAUGCAAAAUAUAUGAAAAAAACGUCCGAACAUAUAAUUUUCCCCCCGUAAUAUAGCAAAGAUCACGAAAAGGCUCGAAAAAUUACAUUUAGUUCAAAAUUUGGAGUAGAAAAACCCCAAUAGAAGAAUUCCAUUUUACUUCCUUAGUCAUCGGAGAGCUCUCUUUGGGCUUUCCGAAAAGGUAUCACAUGCCAAGUUUGGCCUCACGGUCUAAAAGUUAUAGAGUCAUACAUUUUUAACAAAACAUAAUAGAGAAAAACGGGAAAAAGAGGGAUGUAACACGAGGACUUUCCGGGAGGUCACCCAUCCUAGUACUACUCUUGCCCAAGCACCCUUAACUGCGGAGUUCUGAUGGGAUCCGGUGCAUUAGUGUUGGUAUGAUCGCAUGUGUUACUACAUGCAAUGUAAUCGUAUCUAUUCUUUUUAAAGACUUUAUGAUCCAUUUGCCGUGGGUCCCACCAGCUAUGUAGGAAUACCCUAUCUUCUUUAUAAGAGCUUUGAUACAUGCAAAAUAUUGGAAAACAAUGUCCGAACAUAUUAUUUUCCCCCCGUAAUAUAGCAAAGAUCACGAAAAGGCCCGAAAAUGUACAUUAAGUUCAAAAUUUGGAGUAGAAAAAAAAAACAAUAGAAGAAUUCCAUUUUCCUUCCUCAUUCAUCGGAGAGCUCUCUUUGGGCUUUCCGAAAAGGUAUAACAUUCCAAGUUUGGCCUCAUGGUCUCAAAGUUAUAAAGUCAUACAUUUUUCACAAAAAAAAAUAAAGAAAAACAAAAAAAAAAAAGAGGGAUGUAACACGAGGACUUUUUUGGGAGGUCACCCAUCCUAGUACUACUCUCGCCCAAGCACCCUUAACUGCGGAGUUCUGAUGGGAUCCGUUGCAUUAGUGCUGGUAUGAUCGCAUGUGUUACUACAUGCAAUGUAAUCGUAUCUAUUCUUUCUUAAAGACUUUAUGAUCCAUUUGCCGUGAGUCCCACCAGCUAUGUAGGAACACCCUAUCUUCUUUAUAAGAGCUUUGAUACAUGCAAAAUAUUGGAAAAAAACGUCCGAACAUAUAAUUUUCCCCACGUAAUAUAGCAAAGAUCACGAAAAGGCCCCAAAAAGUACAUUUAGUUCAAAAUUUGGAGUAGAAAAAAAAACAAUAGAAGAAUUCCAUUUUCCUUCCUCAGUCAUCGGAGAGCUCUCUUUGGGCUUUCCGAAAAGGUAUCACAUGCCAAGUUUGGCCUCACGGUCUAAACGUUAUAGAGUCAUACAUUUUUAACAAUACAAAAUAGAGAAAAACCGAAAAAAAGAGGGAUGCAACACGAAGACUUUCCGGGAGGUAAUCCAUCCUAGUACUACUCUUUCCAAAGCACCCUUAACUGCGGAGUUCUGAUGGAAUCUGGUGCAUUAGUGCUGGUAUGAUCGCAUGUGUUACUACAUGCAAUGUAAUCGUAUCUAUUCUUUUUUAAAGACUUUAUGAUCCAUUUGCCGUGGGUCCCACCAGCUAUGUACGAAUACCCUAUCUUCUUUAUAAGAGCUUUGAUACAUGCAAAAUAUAUGAAAAAAACGUCCGAACAUAUAAUUUUCCCCCCGUAAUAUAGCAAAGAUCACGAAAAGGCUCGAAAAAUUACAUUUAGUUCAAAAUUUGGAGUAGAAAAACCCCUAUAGAAGAAUUCCAUUUUCCUUCCUCAGUCAUCGGAGAGCUCUCUUUGGGCUUUCCGAAAAGGUAUCACAUGCCAAGUUUGGCCUCACAGUCUAAAAGUUAUAGAGUCAUACAUUUUUAACAAAACAAAAUUGAGAAAAACCGAAAAAAAGAGGGAUGCAACACGAGGACUCUCCAGAAGGUAACCCAUCUUAGUACUACUCUCGCCCAAGCACCCUUAACUGCGGAGUUCUGAUGGGACCCGGUGCAUUAGUGCUGGUAUGAUCGCAUGUGUUACUACAUGCAAUGUAAUCGUAUCUGUUCUUUUUUAAAGACUUUAUGAUCCAUUUGCCGUGGGUCCUACCAGCUAUGUAGGAAUACCCUACCUUCUUUAUAAGAGUUUUGAUACAUGCAUAAUAUUGGAAAACAAUGUCCGAAGAUAUAAUUUUCCCCCCGUAAUAUAGCAAAGAUCACGAAAAGGCCCGGAAGAGUACAUUAAGUUCAAAAUUUGGAGUAUAAAAAAAACCAAUAGAAGAAUUCCAUUUUACUUCCUUAGUCAUCGGAGAGCUCUCUUUGGGCUUUCCGAAAAGGUAUCACAUGCCAAGUUUGGCCUCACGGUCUAAAAGUUAUAGAGUCAAACAUUUUAAACAAAACAUAAUAGAGAAAAACGGGAAAAAAGAGGGAUGUAACACGAGGACUUUCCGGGAGGUCACCCAUCCUAGUACUACUCUUGCCCAAGCACCCUUAACUGCGGAGUUCUGAUGGGAUCCGGUGCAUUAGUGUUGGUAUGAUCGCAUGUGUUACUACAUGCAAUGUAAUCGUAUCUAUUCUUUUUAAAGACUUUAUGAUCCAUUUGCCGUGGGUCCCACCAGCUAUGUAGGAAUACCCUAUCUUCUUUAUAAGAGCUUUGAUACAUGCAAAAUAUUGGAAAACAAUGUCCGAACAUAUUAUUUUCCCCCCGUAAUAUAGCAAAGAUCACGAAAAGGCCCGAAAAUGUACAUUAAGUUCAAAAUUUGGAGUAGAAAAAAAAAACAAUAGAAGAAUUCCAUUUUCCUUCCUCAUUCAUCGGAGAGCUCUCUUUGGGCUUUCCGAAAAGGUAUAACAUUCCAAGUUUGGCCUCAUGGUCUCAAAGUUAUAAAGACAUACAUUUUUCACAAAAAAAAAUAAAGAAAAACCAAAAAAAAAAAAGAGGAAUGUAACACGAGGACUUUUUUGGGAGGUCACCCAUCCUAGUACUACUCUCGCCCAAGCACCCUUAACUGCGGAGUUCUGAUGGGAUCCGUUGCAUUAGUGCUGGUAUGAUCGCAUGUGUUACUACAUGCAAUGUAAUCGUAUCUAUUCUUUCUUAAAGACUUUAUGAUCCAUUUGCCGUGAGUCCCACCAGCUAUGUAGGAAUACCCUAUCUUCUUUAUAAGAGCUUUGAUACAUGCAAAAUAUUGGAAAAAAACGUCCGAACAUAUAGUUUUCCCCCCGUAAUAUAGUAAAGAUCACGAAAAGGCUCGAAAAAGUACAUUUAGUUCAAAAUUUGGAGUAGAAAAAAAAACAUUAGUAGAAUUCCAUUUCCCUUCCUCAGUCAUCGGAGAGCUCUCUCUGGGCUUUCCAAAAAGGUAUCACAUGCCAAGUUUGGCCUCACGGUCUAAAAGUUAUAGAGUCAUACAUUUUUAACAAUACAAAAUAGAGAAAAACCGAAAAAAAAGAGGGAUGCAACACGAGGACUUUCCGGGAGGUAAUCCAUCCUAGUACUACUCUCGCCUAAGCACCCUUAACUGCGGAGUUCUAAUGGAAUCCAGUGCAUUAGUGCGGGUAUGAUCGCAUGUGUUACUACAUGCAAUGUAAUCGUAUCUAUUCUUUUUUAAAGACUUUAUGAUCCAUUUGCCGUGGGUCCCACCAGCUAUGUAGGAAUACACUAUCUUCUUUAUAAGAGCUUUGAUAGAGGCAAAAUAUUGGAAAAAAACGUCCGAACAUAUAAUUUUCCCCACGUAAUAUAGCAAAGAUCACGAAAAUGCCCCAAAAAGUACAUUUAGUUCAAAAUUUGGAGUAGAAAAAAAAACAAUAGAAGAAUUACAUUUUCCUUCCUCACUCAUCGGAGAGCUCUCUUUGGGCUUUCCGAAAAGGUAUCACAUGCCAAGUUUGGUCUCACGGUCUAAGAGUUAUAGAGUCAUACAUUUUUAACAAUACAAAAUAGAGAAAAACCGAAAAAAAGAGGGAUGCAACACGAAGACUUUCCGGGAGGUAAUCCAUCCUAGUACUACUCUUGCCCAAGCACCCUUAACUGUGGAGUUCUGAUGGAAUCUGGUGCAUUAGUGCUGAUAUGAUCGCAUGUGUUACUACAUGCAAUGUAAUCGUAUCUAUUCUUUUUUAAAGACUUUAUGAUCCAUUUGCCGUGGGUCCCACCAGCUAUGUAGGAAUACCCUAUCUUCUUUAUAAGAGCUUUGAUACAUGCAAAAUAUAUGAAAAAAACGUCCGAACAUAUAAUUUUCCCCCCGUAAUAUAGCAAAGAUCACGAAAAGGCUCGAAAAAUUACAUUUAGUUCAAAAGUCCCCCGUAUGAUGUCAUUUGUUACUACAUGCAAUGCAAUCAUAUCUAUUCUUAUUUAAAGACUUUAUGAUCCAUUUGUCGUGGGUCCCACCUGUAGGAAUACCCUAUCUUGUUUAUAAAAGAUUUGAUACAUGCAAAAUACUCGAAAACAAUGUCCGAACAUAUAAUUUUCACCCCGUAAUAUAGCAAAGAUCACGAAAAGGCCCGAAAAAGUACAUUAAAGUCAAAAUUUGGAGUAGAAAAAAACCCAAUAGAAGUAUUCCAUUCUCCUUCGUCAUUCAUCGGAGAGCUCUCUUUAGGCUUUCCGAAAAGAUAUCACAUGCCAAGUUUGGCCUCACGGUUUAAAAGUUAUAGAGUCAUAGAUUUUUAACAAAACAAAAAGAGAAAAACCGAAAAAAAUUGGGAUGCAACACGAGGACUUUCCUGGAGGUCACCCAUCCUAGUACUACUCUCGCCCAAGCACCCUUAACUGCGUAGUUCUGAUGGGAUCCGAUGCUUUAGUGCUGGUAUGAUCGCAUCUGUUACUACAUGCAAUGUAAUCGUAUCUAUUCUUUUUUAAAGACUUUAUGAUCCAUUUGCCGUGGGUCCCACCAGCUAUGUAGGAAUACCCUAUCUUCUUUAUAAGAGCUUUGAUAAAUGCAAAAUAUUGGAAACCAAUGUCCGAACAUAUAAUUUCGCCCCCGUAAUAUAGCAAAGAUCACGAAAAAGCCCAAAAAAGUUCAUUUAGGUCAAAAUUUGAGCAGAAGAAAAAGAAAUAGAAGAAUUCCAUUUUCCUUCCUCAUUUAUUGGAGAGCUCUCUUUGGGCUUUCCGAAAAGGUAUCACAUGCCAAGUUUGGCCUCACGGUCUAAAAGUUAUAGAGUCAUACAUUUUUAACAAAAUGAAAUAGAGAAAAACCGAAAAAAAGAGGGAUGUAACACGAGGACUUUCCGGGAGGUAAUCUAUCCUACUACUACUCUCGGCCAAGCACCCUUAACUGCGGAGUUCUAAUGGGAUCCGGUGCAUUAGUGCUGGUAUGAUCGCAUGUGUUACUACAUGCAAUGUAAUCGUAUCUAUUCUUUUUUAAAGACUUUAUGAUCCAUUUGCCGUGGGUCCCACCAGCUAUGUAGGAAUACNNNNNNNNNNNNNNNNNNNNNNNNNNNNNNNNNNNNNNNNNNNNNNNNNNAUAUAAUGUUUGCCCCAAAAUAUAGCANAGACCACGAAAAUGCCAUAAAAAGUACAUUAAGGUCAAAAUUUGGAGUAGGAAAAAAAAUCAAUAGGAGAAUUCCAUUUUCCUUCCUCAUUCAUUGGAGAGCUCUCUUUGGGCAUUCCAAAAAGGUAUCACAUGCCAAGUUUGGCCUCACGGUCUAAAAGUUAUAGAGUAAUACAUUUUUAACAAAAAAAAAAGAGAAAAACCGAAAAAAAGAGGGAUGCAACACGAAGACUUUUCUGGAGGUCACCCAUCCUAGUACUACUCUCCCCCAAGCACGCUUAACUGUGGUGUUCUGAUAGGAUCAAGUGCAUUAGUGCUGGUAUGAUCGCAUCAGUUACUACAUGCAAUGCAAUCAUAUAUAUUCUUUUUUGAAGACUUUAUGAUCCAUUGUCGUAGGUCCCACCAGCUAUGUAGGAAUACCCUUUCUUGUUUAUAAGAGCUUUGAUACAUGCAAAAUAUUCGAAAACAAUGUCCGAACAUAUAAUUUUUGUCCCGUAAUAUAGCAAAGAUCACGAAAAGGCCAGAAAAAAUACAUUUCGGUCAAAAUUUGGAGUAGAAAAAAAGCCCUUCCUCAUUCAUUGGACAGCUCUCUUUGGGCUUUCCGAAAAGGUAUCACAUGCCAAGUUUGGCCUCACGGUCUAAACCUUAUAGACUCAUACAUUUUUCACAAAAAAAAGAAGAGAAAAGCCAAAAAAAAAGAGUGAUUAAACACGAGGACUUUCCUGGAGGUCACCCAUCCUAGUACUACUCUCGCCCAAGCACGCUUAACUGCGAAGUUCUGAUGGGAUCUGGUGCAUUAGUGCUGGUAUGAUCGCAUCUGUUACUACAUGCAAUGAAAUCGUAUCUAUUCUUUUUUGAAGAUUUUAUGAUUCAUUUACCGUGGGUCCCACCAGCUAUGUAGGAAUAACCUAUCUUAUUUAUAAGAUCUUUGAUACAUGCAAAAUAUUGGAAAACAAUGUCCGAACAUAUAAUGUUCGCCCCAAAAUAUAGCAAAGACCACAAAAAUGCCAUAAAAAGUACAUUAAGGUCAAAAUUUGGAGUAGGAAAAAAACCAAUAAGAGAAUUCCAUUUUCCUUCCCUCAUUCAUCGGAGAUCUCUCUUUGGGCAUUCCAAAAAGGUAUCACAUGCCAAGUUUGGCCUCACGGUCUAAAAGUUAUAGAGUAAUACAUUUUUAACAAAAAAAAAAGAGAAAAACCGAAAAAAAGAGGGAUGCAACACGAAGACUUUUCUGGAGGUCACCCAUCCUAGUACUACUCUCCCCCAAGCACGCUUAACUGUGGUGUUCUGAUAGGAUCAAGUGCAUUAGUGCUGGUAUGAUCGCAUCAGUUACUACAUGUAAUGCAAUCAUAUAUAUUCUUUUUUGAAGACUUUAUGAUCCAUUUGCCGUAGGUCCCACCAGCUAUGUAGGAAUACCCUAUCUCGUUUAUAAGAGCUUUGAUACAUGCAAAAUAUUCGAAAACAAUGUCCGAACAUAUAAUGUUUGCCCCAAAAUAUAGCAAAGACCACGAAAAUGCCAUAAAAAGUACAUUAAGGUCAAAAUUUGGAGUAGGAAAAAAAAUCAAUAGGAGAAUUCCAUUUUCCUUCCUCAUUCAUCGGAGAGCUCUCUUUGGGCAUUCCAAAAAGGUAUGACAUGCCAAGUUUGGCCUCACGGUCUAAAAGUUAUAGAGUAAUACAUUUUUAACAAAAAAAAAAGAGAAAAACCGAAAAAAAGAGGGAUGCAACACGAAGACUUUUCUGGAGGUCAUCCAUCCUAGUACUACUCUCCCCCAAGCACGCUUAACUGUGGUGUUCUGAUAGGAUCAAGUGCAUUAGUGCUGGUAUGAUCGCAUCAGUUACUACAUGCAAUGCAAUCAUAUAUAUUCUUUUUUGAAGACGUUAUGAUCCAUUUGCCGUAGGUCCCACCAGCUAUGUAGGAAUACCCUAUCUUGUUUAUAAGAGCUUUGAUACAUGCAAAAUAUUCGAAAACAAUGUCCGAACAUAUAAUUUUUGUCCCGUAAUAUAGCAAAGAUCACGAAAAGGCCAGAAAAAAUACAUUUUGGUCAAAAUUUGGAGUAGAAAAAAAACCCUUCCUCAUUCAUUGGACAGCUCUCUUUGGGCUUUCCGAAAAGGUAUCACAUGCCAAGUUUGGCCUCACGGUCUAAAAGUUAUAGAGUCAUACAUUUUUCACAAAAAAAAGAAGAGAAAAACCAAAAAAAAGAGUGAUGAAACACGAGGACUUUCCUGGAGGUCACCCAUCCUAGUACUACUCUCGCCCAAGCACGCUUCACUGCGAAGUUCUGAUGGGAUCUGGUGCAUUAGUGCUGGUAUGAUCGCAUCUGUUACUACAUGCAAUGCAAUCAUAUCUAUUCUUUUUUGAAGAUUUUAUGAUUCAUUUACCGUGGGUCCCACCAGCUAUGUAGGAAUAACCUAUCUUAUUUAUAAGAGCUUUGAUACAUGCAAAAUAUUGGAAAACAAUGUCCGAACAUAUAAUGUUCGCCCCAAAAUAUAGCAAAGACAACAAAAAUGCCAUAAAAAGAAAAUUAAGGUCAAAAUUUUGAGUAGGAAAAAAAUCAAUAAGAGAAUUCCAUUUUCCUUCCCUCAUUCAUCGGAGAUCUCUCUUUGGGCAUUCCAAAAAGGUAUCACAUGCCAAGUUUGGCCUCACGGUCUAAAAGUUAUAGAGUAAUACAUUUUUAACAAAAAAAGAAGAGAAAAACCGAAAAAAAGAGGGAUGCAACACGAAGACUUUUCUGGAGGUCACCCAUCCUAGUACUACUCUCCCCCAAGCACGCUUAACUGUGGUGUUCUGAUAGGAUCAAGUGCAUUAGUGCUGGUAUGAUCGCAUCAGUUACUACAUGUAAUGCAAUCAUAUAUAUUCUUUUUUGAAGACUUUAUGAUCCAUUUGCCGUACGUCCCACCAGCUAUGUAGGAAUACCCUAUCUCGUUUAUUAGAGCUUUGAUACAUGCAAAAUAUUCGAAAACAAUGUCCGAACAUAUAAUGUUUGCCCCAAAAUAUAGAAAAGACCACGAAAAUGCCAUAAAAAGUACAUUAAGGUCAAAAUUUGGAGUAGGAAAAAAAAUCAAUAGGAGAAUUCCAUUUUCCUUCCUCAUUCAUCGGAGAGCUCUCUUUGGGCAUUCCAUAAAGGUAUCACAUGCCAAGUUUGGCCUCACGGUCUAAAAGUUAUAGAGUAAUACAUUUUUAACAAAAAAAAAAGAGAAAAACCGAAAAAAAGAGGGAUGCAACACGAAGACUUUUCUGGAGGUCACCCAUCCUAGUACUACUCUCCCACAAGCACGCUUAACUGUGGUGUUCUGAUAGGAUCAAGUGCAUUAGUGCUGGUAUGAUCGCAUCAGUUACUACAUGUAAUGCAAUCAUAUAUAUUCUUUUUUGAAGACUUUAUGAUCCAUUUGCCGUAGGUCCCACCAGUUAUGUAGGAAUACCCUAUCUCGUUUAUAAGAGCUUUGAUACAUGCAAAAUAUUCGAAAACAAUGUCCGAACAUAUAAUGUUUGCCCCAAAAUAUAGCAAAGACCACGAAAAUGCCAUAAAAAGUACAUUAAGGUCAAAAUUUGGAGUAGGAAAAAAAAUCAAUAGGAGAAUUCCAUUUUCCUUCCUCAUUCAUGGGAGAGCUCUCUUUGGGCAUUCCAAAAAGGUAUCACAUGCCAAGUUUGGCCUCACGGUCUAAAAGUUAUAGAGUAAUACAUUUUUAACAAAAAAAAAAGAGAAAAACCGAAAAAAAGAGGGAUGCAACACGAAGACUUUUCUGGAGGUCACCCAUCCUAGUACUACUCUCCCCCAAGCACGCUUAACUGUGGUGUUCUGAUAGGAUCAAGUGCAUUAGUGCUGGUAUGAUCGCAUCAGUUACUACAUGCAAUGCAAUCAUAUAUAUUCUUUUUUGAAGACGUUAUGAUCCAUUUGCCGUAGGUCCCACCAGCUAUGUAGGAAUACCCUAUCCUGUUUAUAAGAGCUUUGAUAUAUGCAAAAUAUUCAAAAACAAUGUCCGAACAUAUAAUUUUUGUCCCGUAAUAUAGCAAAGAUCACGAAAAGGCCAGAAAAAAUAAAUUUCGGUCAAAAUUUGGAGUAGAAAAAAAACCCUUCCUCAUUCAUUGGACAGCUCUCUUUGGGCUUUCCGAAAAGGUAUCACAUGCCAAGUUUGGCCUCACGGUCUAAACCUUAUAGACUCAUACAUUUUUUACAAAAAAAAGAAGAGAAAAACCAAAAAAAAGAGUGAUUAAACACGAGGACUUUCCUGGAGGUCACCCAUCCUAGUACUACUCUCGCCCAAGCACGCUUAACUGCGAAGUUCUUAUGGGAUCUGGUGCAUUAGUGCUGGUAUGAUCGCAUCUGUUACUACAUGCAAUGCAAUUGUAUCUAUUCUUUUUUGAAGAUUUUAUGAUUCAUUUACCGUGGGUCCCACCAGCUAUGUAGGAAUAACCUAUCUGAUUUAUAAAAGCUUUGAUACAUGCAAAAUAUUCGAAAACAAUGUCCGAACAUAUAAUGUUCGCCCCAAAAUAUAGCAAAGACCGUAAAAAUGCCAUAAAAAGUACAUUAAGGUCAAAAUUUGGAGUAGGAAAAAAAAUCAAUAGGAGAAUUCCAUUUUCCUUCCCUCAUUCAUCGAAGAGCUCUCUUUGGGCAUUCCAAAAAGGUAUCACAUGCCAAGUUUGGCCUCACGGUCUAAAAGUUAUAGAGUAUUACAUUUUUAACAAAAAAAAAAGAGAAAAACCGAUAAAAAGAGGGAUGCAACACGAAGACUUUUCUGGAGGUCACCAAUCCUAGUACUACUCUCCCCCAAGCACGCUUAACUGUGGUGUUCUGAUAGGAUCAAGUGCAUUAGUGCUGGUAUGAUCGCAUCAGUUACUACAUGCAAUGCAAUCAUAUAUAUUCUGUUUUGAAGACUUUAUGAUCCAUUUGUCGUAGGUCCCACCAGCUAUGUAGGAAUACCCUUUCUUGUUUAUAAGAGCUUUGAUACAUGCAAAAUAUUCGAAAACAAUGUCCGAACAUAUAAUUUUUGUCCCGUAAUAUAGCAAAGAUCACGAAAAGGCCAGAAAAAAUACAUUUCGGUCAAAAUUUGGAGUAGAAAAAAAGCCCUUCCUCAUUCAUUGGACAGCUCUCUUUGGGCUUUCCGAAAAGGUAUCACAUGCCAAGUUUGGCCUCACGGUCUAAACCUUAUAGACUCAUACAUUUUUCACAAAAAAAAGAAGAGAAAAACCAAAAAAAAAGAGUGAUUAAACACGAGGACUUUCCUGGAGGUCACCCAUCCUAGUACUACUCUCGCCCAAGCACGCUUAACUGCGAAGUUCUGAUGGGAUCUGGUGCAUUAGUGCUGGUAUGAUCGCAUCUGUUACUACAUGCAAUGAAAUCGUAUCUAUUCUUUUUUGAAGAUUUUAUGAUUCAUUUACCGUGGGUCCCACCAGCUAUGUAGGAAUAACCUAUCUCGUUUAUAAGAGCUUUGAUACAUGCAAAAUAUUCGAAAACAAUGUCCGAACAUAUAAUGUUUGCCCCAAAAUAUAGAAAAGACCACGAAAAUGCCAUAAAAAGUACAUUAAGGUCAAAAUUUGGAGUAGGAAAAAAAAUCAAUAGGAGAAUUCCAUUUUCCUUCCUCAUUCAUCGGAGAGCUCUCUUUGGGCAUUCCAUAAAGGUAUCACAUGCCAAGUUUGGCCUCACGGUCUAAAAGUUAUAGAGUAAUACAUUUUUAACAAAAAAAAAAGAGAAAAACCGAAAAAAAGAGGGAUGCAACACGAAGACUUUUCUGGAGGUCACCCAUCCUAGUACUACUCUCCCACAAGCACGCUUAACUGUGGUGUUCUGAUAGGAUCAAGUGCAUUAGUGCUGGUAUGAUCGCAUCAGUUACUACAUGUAAUGCAAUCAUAUAUAUUCUUUUUUGAAGACUUUAUGAUCCAUUUGCCGUAGGUCCCACCAGUUAUGUAGGAAUACCCUAUCUCGUUUAUAAGAGCUUUGAUACAUGCAAAAUAUUCGAAAACAAUGUCCGAACAUAUAAUGUUUGCCCCAAAAUAUAGCAAAGACCACGAAAAUGCCAUAAAAAGUACAUUAAGGUCAAAAUUUGGAGUAGGAAAAAAAAUCAAUAGGAGAAUUCCAUUUUCCUUCCUCAUUCAUGGGAGAGCUCUCUUUGGGCAUUCCAAAAAGGUAUCACAUGCCAAGUUUGGCCUCACGGUCUAAAAGUUAUAGAGUAAUACAUUUUUAACAAAAAAAAAAGAGAAAAACCGAAAAGAAGAGGGAUGCAACACGAAGACUUUUCUGGAGGUCAUCCAUCCUAGUACUACUCUCGCCCAAGCACACUUAACUGCGGUGUUCUGAUAGGAUCAAGUGCAUUAGUGCUGGUAUGAUCGCAUCAGUUACUACAUGCAAUGCAAUCUUAUAUAUUCUUUUUUGAAGACUUUAUGAUCCAUUUGCCGUCGGUCCCACCAGCUAUGUAGGAAUACCCUAUCUUGUUUAUAAGAGCUUUGAUAUAUGCAAAAUAUUCAAAAAUAAUGUCCGAACAUAUAAUUUUUGUCCCGUAAUAUAGCAAAGAUCACGAAAAGGCCAGAAAAAAUAAAUUUCGGUCAAAAUUUGGAGUAGAAAAAAAACCCUUCCUCAUUCAUUGGACAGCUCUCUUUGGGCUUUCCGAAAAGGUAUCACAUGCCAAGUUUGGCCUCACGGUCUAAACCUUAUAGACUCAUACAUUUUUUACAAAAAAAAGAAGAGAAAAACCAAAAAAAAGAGUGAUUAAACACGAGGACUUUCCUGGAGGUCACCCAUCCUAGUACUACUUUCGCCCAAGCACGCUUAACUGCGAAGUUCUUAUGGGAUCUGGUGCAUUAGUGCUGGUAUGAUCGCAUCUGUUACUACAUGCAAUGCAAUUGUAUCUAUUCUUUUUUGAAGAUUUUAUGAUUCAUUUACCGUGGGUCCCACCAGCUAUGUAGGAAUAACCUAUCUGAUUUAUAAAAGCUUUGAUACAUGCAAAAUAUUCGAAAACAAUGUCCGAACAUAUAAUGUUCGCCCCAAAAUAUAGCAAAGACCGUAAAAAUGCCAUAAAAAGUACAUUAAGGUCAAAAUUUGGAGUAGGAAAAAAAUCAAUAGGAGAAUUCCAUUUUCCUUCCCUCAUUCAUCGGAGAGCUCUCUUUGGGCAUUCCAAAAAGGUAUCACAUGCCAAGUUUGGCCUCACGGUCUAAAAGUUAUAGAGUAUUACAUUUUUAACAAAAAAAAAAGAGAAAAGCCGAUAAAAAGAGGGAUGCUACACGAAGACUUUUCUGGAGGUCACCAAUCCUAGUACUACUCUCCCCCAAGCACGCUUAACUGUGGUGUUCUGAUAGGAUCAAGUGCAUUAGUGCUGGUAUGAUCGCAUCAGUUACUACAUGCAAUGCAAUCAUAUAUAUUCUGUUUUGAAGACUUUAUGAUCCAUUUGUCGUAGGUCCCACCAGCUAUGUAGGAAUACCCUUUCUUGUUUAUAAGAGCUUUGAUACAUGCAAAAUAUUCGAAAACAAUGUCCGAACAUAUAAUUUUUGUCCCGUAAUAUAGCAAAGAUCACGAAAAGGCCAGAAAAAAUACAUUUCGGUCAAAAUUUGGAGUAGAAAAAAAGCCCUUCCUCAUUCAUUGGACAGCUCUCUUUGGGCUUUCCGAAAAGGUAUCACAUGCCAAGUUUGGCCUCACGGUCUAAACCUUAUAGACUCAUACAUUUUUCACAAAAAAAAGAAGAGAAAAACCAAAAAAAAAGAGUGAUUAAACACGAGGACUUUCCUGGAGGUCACCCAUCCUAGUAAUACUCUCGCCCAAGCACGCUUAACUGCGAAGUUCUGAUGGGAUCUGGUGCAUUAGUGCUGGUAUGAUCGCAUCUAUUACUACAUGCAAUGAAAUCGUAUCUAUUCUUUUUUGAAGAUUUUAUGAUUCAUUUACCGUGGGUCCCACCAGCUAUGUAGGAAUAACCUAUCUUAUUUAUAAGAUCUUUGAUACAUGCAAAAUAUUGGAAAACAAUGUCCGAACAUAUAAUGUUCGCCCCAAAAUAUAGCAAAGACCACAAAAAUGCCAUAAAAAGUACAUUAAGGUCAAAAUUUGGAGUAGGAAAAAAACCAAUAAGAGAAUUCCAUUUUCCUUCCCUCAUUCAUCGGAGAUCUCUCUUUGGGCAUUCCAAAAAGGUAUCACAUGCCAAGUUUGGCCUCACGGUCUAAAAGUUAUAGAGUAAUACAUUUUUAACAAAAAAAAAAAGAGAAAAACCGAAAAAAAGAGGGAUGCAACACGAAGACUUUUCUGGAGGUCACCCAUCCUAGUACUACUCUCCCCCAAGCACGCUUAACUGUGGUGUUCUGAUAGGAUCAAGUGCAUUAGUGCUGGUAUGAUCGCAUCAGUUACUACAUGUAAUGCAAUCAUAUAUAUUCUUUUUUGAAGACUUUAUGAUCCAUGUGCCGUAGGUCCCACCAGCUAUGUAGGAAUACCCUAUCUCAUUUAUAAGAGCUUUGAUACAUGCAAAAUAUUCGAAAACAAUGUCCGAACAUAUAAUGUUUGCCCCAAAAUAUAGCAAAGACCACGAAAAUGCCAUAAAAAGUACAUUAAGGUCAAAAUUUGGAGUAGGAAAAAAAAUCAAUAGGAGAAUUCCAUUUUCCUUCCUCAUUCAUCGGAGAGCUCUCUUUGGGCAUUCCAAAAAGGUAUCACAUGGCAAGUUUGGCCUCACGGUCUAAAAGUUAUAGAGUAAUACAUUUUUAACAAAAAAAAAAGAGAAAAACCGAAAAAAAGAGGGAUGCAACACGAAGACUUUUCUGGAGGUCACCCAUCCUAGUACUACUCUCCCCCAAGCACGCUUAACUGUGGUGUUCUGAUAGGAUCAAGUGCAUUAGUGCUGGUAUGAUCGCAUCAGUUACUACAUGCAAUGCAAUCAUAUAUAUUCUUUUUUGAAGACGUUAUGAUCCAUUUGCCGUAGGUCCCACCAGCUAUGUAGGAACACCCUAUCUUGUUUAUAAGAGCUUUGAUACAUGCAAAAUAUUCGAAAACAAUGUCCGAACAUAUAAUUUUUGUCCCGUAAUAUAGCAAAGAUCACGAAAAGGCCAGAAAAAAUACAUUUCGGUCAAAAUUUGGAGUAGAAAAAAAACCCUUCCUCAUUCAUUGGACAGCUCUCUUUGGGCUUUCCGAAAAGGUAUCACAUGCCAAGUUUGGCCUCACGGUCUAAAAGUUAUAGAGUCAUACAUUUUUCACAAAAAAAGCAAGAGAAAAACAAAAAAAAAGAGUGAUGAAACACGAGGACUUUCCUGGAGGUCACCCAUCCUAGUACUACUCUCGCCCAAGCACGCUUAACUGCGAAGUUCUGAUGGGAUCUGGUGCAUUAGUGCUGGUAUGAUCGCAUCUGUUACUACAUGCAAUGCAAUCGUAUAUAUUCUUUUUUGAAGACUUUAUGAUCCAUUUGUCGUAGGUCCCACCAGUUAUGUAGGAAUACCCUAUCUCGUUUAUAAGAGCUUUGAUACAUGCAAAAUAUUCGAAAACAAUGUCCGAACAUAUAAUGUUUGCCCCAAAAUAUAGCAAAGACCACGAAAAUGCCAUAAAAAGUACAUUAAGGUCAAAAUUUGGAGUAGGAAAAAAAAUCAAUAGGAGAAUUCCAUUUUCCUUCCUCAUUCAUUGGAGAGCUCUCUUUGGGCAUUCCAAAAAGGUAUCACAUGCCAAGUUUGGCCUCACGGUCUAAAAGUUAUAGAGUAAUACAUUUUUAACAAAAAAAAAAGAGAAAAACCGAAAAAAAGAGNNNNNNNNNNNNNNNNNNNNNNNNNNNNNNNNNNNNNNNNNNNNNNNNNNUCAUACAUUUUUAACAAAACAAAUAGAGAAAAACCGAAAAAAAGAAUGAUACAACACAAGGACUUUCCGGGAGGUCACCCAUCCUAAUACUAUUCUCGCCCAAGCAAGCUUAACUGCAGAGUAUUGAUGGGAUCUGAUGCAUAAGGGCUGAUAUGAUCGCAUCCGUUACUACAAGCAAUGCAAUCGUAUCUAUUCGUUUUUGAAGACUUUAUGAUCCAUUUGCCGUGGGUCCCACCAGCUAUGUAGGAAUACCCUAUCUUGUUUAUAAGAGCUUUGAUACAUGCAAAAAAUUGGAAAACAAUGUCUGAACAUAUAAUUUUUGUCCCGUAAUAUAGCAAAGAUCACGAAAAGGAUAGAAAAAGUACAUUAAGGUCAAAAUUUUGAGUAGAAAAAAAAUCAAUAGAAGGAUUCCAAUUUCCUUCCUCAUUCAUAUAGCUCUCUUUGGGCUUUCCGAAAAGGUAUCACAUGCAAAGUUUGGCCUCGCGGUCUAAAAGUUAUAGAGGUAUACAUUUUUACCAAAAAAAAGAGGGAUUCAACACGAGGACUUUCUGGGAGGUCACUCAUCCUAUUACUACUCUCGCCCAAGCACACUUAACUGCGGAGUUCUGAUAGGAUCCAGUGCAUUAGUGCGGGUAUGAUCACAUCCGUUACUACAUGCAAUGCAAUCGUAUAUAUUUUUUUUGAAGACUUUAUGAUCCAUUUGCCGUGGGUCUCACCAGCUAUGUAGGAAUACCCUAUCUUGUUUGUAAGAGCUUUGAUACAUGCAAAAUAUUCGAAAACAAUGUCAGAACGUAUGCUUUUUGCCCCGUAAUAUAGCAUAGAUCAUGAAAAGGCCAGAAAAAGUACAUUAAGGUCAAAAUUUUGAGUAGAAAAAAAAACAAUAGAAAAAUUCCAUUGUCCUUCCUCAUUCAUCGGAGAGUUCUCUUUGGGCUUUCCGAAAAGGUAUCACAUGCCAAGUUUGGCCUCACGGUCUAAAACUUAUAGAAUCAUACAUUCUUAACAAAAAAAAAAGAGAAAAACCGAAAAAAAGAAGAAUGCAACACAAGGACUUUCCAUGAGGUCAACCAUCCUAGUACUACUCUCGCCCAAUCACGCUUAACUGCAGAGUUUUGAUGGGAUCCGGUGCAUUAGUGCUGGUAUGAUCGCAUCUGUUACUACAUGCAAUGCAAUCGUAUCUAUUCUUUUUUGAAGACUUUAUGAUCCAUUUGUCGUGGGUCCCACCAACUAUGUAAGAAUACCCUAUCUUGUUUAUAAGAGCUUUGAUACAUGCAAAAUAUUCGAAAACAAUGUCAGAACGUAUGCUUUUUGCCCCGUAAUAUAGCAUAGAUCAUGAAAAGGCCAGAAAAAGUACAUUAAGGUCAAAAUUUUGAGUAGAAAAAAAAACAAUAGAAAAAUUCCAUUGUCCUUCCUCAUUCAUCGGAGAGUUCUCUUUGGGCUUUCCGAAAAGGUAUCACAUGCCAAGUUUGGCCUCACGGUCUAAAAUUUAUAGAGUCAUACAUUUUUAACAAAAAAAAAAGAGAAAAACCGAAAAAAGAGGGAUGGAACACAAGGACUUUCCGGGAGGUCACCCAUUCUAGUACUACUCUCACCCAAGCGCGCUUAACUGUGGAGUUCUGAUGGGAUCCAGUGCAUUAGUGAUGGUAUGAUCGCAUCCGUUACUACAUGCAAUGCAAUAAUAUCUUUUCUUCUUGAAGACUUUAUGAUCCAUUUGUCGUGGGUCCCACCAGCUAUGUAGGAAUACCCUAUCUUGUUUAUAAGAGCUUUGAUACAUGCAAAAUAUUCAAAAACAAUGUCCGAACAUAUAAUUUUCGCCCCGUAAUAUAGCAAAGAUCGCGAAAACGCCAAAAGAGUACAUUAAGGUCAAAAUUUGGAGUAGAAAAAAAACCCAAUAGAAGAAUUCCAUUUUCCUUCAUCAUUCACCAGAGAGCUCUCUUUUGGCUUUUUGAAAAGGUAUCACAUGCCAAGUUUGGCCUCACGGUCUAAAAGUUAUAGAGUCAUUCAUUUUAAAAAAAAAAAUAGAGAAAAACCAAAAAAAAAAAGAGGGAUGAAACACGAGGACUUUCCGGGAGGUCACCCAUCCUAGUACUACUCUCGCCCAAGCACACUUAACUGCGGAGUUCUUAUGGGAUCUGGUGCAUUAGUGCUGCUAUGAUCGCAUCCGUUACUACAUGCAAUGCAAUCGUAUCUAUUCUUUUUUGAAGACUUUAUGAUCCAUUUGCUGUGGGUCCUGAUAUGUCUAUAAUUUACAUCUUUUCAGUGUCCAUUCAUCACCGUUUUGAGUCCAGUUUUGUAUCAUUCAUCGCUGUUUUAUAUCAUUUCUCAUCAUUCUUGCAUACUUUGCAUGAUUAGGAUAGUUUUGCAUACAUAUUGCAUUUCUAAGUUGUUUUCAGGUGAUUUGGAGCUGUUUGCGAGCAAAUUGGAAGAAACGAGCCAGAACCAGAAGACAUACUCGACCACCAGGUCGUGUGCAUCCAGCACCAUACUCGACCCCCUGGUCGAGUGACUUUGGAGCCAUUCUUCCCAUCUACUCGACCCCCUAGUCGAGUAUCCUCAGCUCAGGCUACUCGAUGACGCCAUCGACCCCCUGGUCGAGUAUCACUUCGCCACACCACCUGACCACACUCGGCCAUUCACUCUACCAAGUUAGUCGACCCCCUGGUCGAGUAUCAUCACUCACCACCAUCACCAUCACUCGACCGGACACUCGAUCACGUCUUCACAGUCUACUCAAAUCCGCACUCAACCAGACAAGCUGAGCACAAGGAAGAGAAGAGGAGAAGACAAAGUGUUUGGAAGCGGCCUGGACCUCCAUCGGAUCACAAAGCCCAUCUCGGCCCAUUAUCACUCUAUUGGUCGGGCGAUUAGGUUAUUGGCCCGUCUACUAUCAUUUUGUUUUGUAUAAAUAGAUGUCUUAGGGUUCUUUCCUGAGACAUCUAGUCGACAUUGAGUUUUUGUUUCAGUUUUAUUUUCUAUUUUACUCUUCUGCGCCGCUUUUGCUUCUACAACCUAUAAUUCGAGAUUUUUCCAAGUUAUUCAGAUUCUGCAUUUGAUUUUAUCUAUCAUCCUGUUUCUCUACUCUUUAUCUCUUUACUUAUGCAAUAUUAUCAUUUAUCUGCGUUUAUGUCUUUGAGCAUGUUGUCUGAGUAGUGACAUAGAAUUCUUAGGGAUGGGAUAGAGUAGUUGUGGAAUCCGUAGUCUGUAGAAUGGUUAAGUUUUAGAAUUGAUUGAAUCCCUUCAGGACUAGUUGCGUUUACUGCUUAUUUCUUUCUGAUCAACUGGAAUUCGAUCCCAAGCAUUCUCGCACCCAGAAGGUGUUCGAUGGAAUGCUUGAUCCACUAGUUCCUGAGAUAUUCGUCUCUAUCCCAAGGGAUUGGGCGUUUAGAGCGUUUAUUGACUUUAUCAGUCUGUUCUUAUUGCCUGCAUAGUUAGAUUGCGUUAAUGGGAAUUAGUCUGGGCUAGCUUUGCUUGAGGAUUUCUAUCACAGAAGUGAAUUGAUUUGUUGUUGAACCUAUUGUCUAGGGAUAGCUUGAUUGCGCUUGUUAACCAUUCGAAUAUGCUAGGAUAUGAUAAGGUCUGACCCUAUCGAAGACAAGAAAAAGACUAAGAGUGAUAAAAUAACAAGAUAAUAGGAAAUGCACCUUGAACGGCGGAGAGUGUAGAUGAGAGAGAGAAUUUCAAGAUUAAUGUUGUUGAUUGUUUAUUUUGAUAACAAAACCCUAAAAGGGAAGGUUCCUUAAAUAGCAUCUACUGAGACUCAAUACAAAACGCAGCAUUUCGAUAACCCAAAAGUAAAACGACACAGUUGGCGAGCUGUCUUUCUGUGCCGAGCUGGCGAGCUGUCUUUCUGUGCCUUAGCCACUUUUAAAUAGAAGCUUCCUCAGGAACUUCUCACGAGCUCUGCCUUUCCUUCCAUUUGAUUUCGCCCUUCUUCUCACACCAGCCAACGUCACCUGUAACCUAUCAAUGCUCCCGCGCAGAAGACUGACCUUGUCCUCAAGGUCGAAGUCCGGGUACUGCUGCACCAAAGUGAGGAGCGGCUCCCAAGUUGAUUCCAAGGUUGAUAAUCCAGACCACUGUACCAGCACCUCUGGUCCUGAAUUUGUGUUGCUCUGUCGGAUAUCUAGCAGCUUCUCAGGUCCUGUGUUCCAUUCCAGUGUGGGUGAUAGUAUCUUGGGAAGUUCCUGCGGGGUGAAUGACGGAGGUACAGCCCUUUUCAGUUGAGAGACAUGGAACACCGGGUGAAUUGUGCUGUGUUCGGGUAGUUGGAGCUUGUAAGCGACCUGACCUAUGCGGUGCAGCACUUUAAAUGGACCGAAGUAGCGCUGGGACAGCUUUUCAUUCUUCCUAUGAGCCACAGAACUUUGCCUAUAAGGACGCAGCUUCAAGUAAACCCAUUCAUCAAUUUCAAACGCUACAUCACGUCGACUUUUAUCAGCAGCCUUUUUCAUUUGAGCUUGAGCUAUCUCCAAGUUCUCUCUUAAUUCAACCAGCAUUCCAUCCUUAUCCUUAAGUAACUCCUCUACAUUCGCAUUAUUGGUUGGAAUAUCGCCAUACCUGAGCAGAACUGGUGGUUCUCUACCAUAGACUGCUUGAAAGGGAGUGGUUUUGGUGGCUGAAUGGUACGAGGUGUUGUACCAGUAUUCUGCCCAAGGUAACCACUGAAACCACGAUGUAGGCCUCCUCCCUGCAAAGCAUCGCAAAUAAGACUCAAGACAUCUGUUAACAACCUCGGUCUGCCCAUCAGUUUGUGGGUGAUAGGCUGUACUCUUCUGUAGCCCCGUGCCCUGCAGCUUAAACAACUCAGACCAGAAUCCGCUCAGGAAAAUCCUGUCCCUGUCCGAAACCAGUGUGUUUGGGAAGCCAUGUAGCUUGACUACAUCUCUUAUGAAGGCCUCAACUACAGUCUUGGCAGUGAAUGGAUGUUUAAGUGGAAUGAAAUGACUAUACUUACUUAAUCUAUCCACCACUACCAAUAUACAGUUAAACCUGUUAGAGCUUGGCAACCCUUCUACAAAGUCCAAGCUGACAUCACUCCAAAUCUGUUGUGGAAUAGGGAGAGGUGAUAGUAAACCGGCUGGAGAGAGGGUAGAGUAUUUAUUCUCUUGACAGAUUUGGCAUCCCUUGAUGUAGUUAACCACGUCUUUCCGCAACCCUCUCCAGUAUACUUCACUUGUGAGUCGUUUGAAUGUCUUAAGGGCACCUUCAUGACCUCCAAUAGGACUGGUGUGGAACUUCUCUAGCAUCUUUGGAAUGAAGGGAGAUCCUACAGGAAUUACCAAACAGCCUUUUCUGUAAAUCAAGCCAUCUGCCACAGUGAAGUCAGAAUCAUGGUGGUCCCCUUGUGCCCAGUUCUUAAGUAUCUGGCUCAACUCAUGAUCCUGCUGAAUUUCUGCCUUUAGUGCAGUCAAGUCGAUAGUAGGAGGACCAGUUAUAGUGAGCUGUGAGAGAGCCUCAGUUGGAGGUCUCCUUGAGAGUGCAUCAGCUACCUUAUUGUCAACUCCUGGUUUAUAUUCGAUCCUAUACUUCAGUCCACUCAACUUAGACGCCCAUCUCUGCUGUAUUGUGGACACCGACUUCUGUUCCAACAAAUGUCUGAGGCUGCGUUGAUCUGUCUUGAUAAUGAAUUCUUUACUUGAUAGGUAAUGCUUCCACUUUGUGACAGCUUUCACUAUGGCUAACAGUUCACGUUCAUAAACUGACCUUAUUCUGCCUUGACUGGAGAAGGCUUGGCUGAGAAAUGCAAUAAGCCUCUUAUUCUGUGACAGUACUGCUCCAAUCCCCAUCCCUGAUGCAUCCGUUUCCACAGUAAACUCCUGCUGGAAAUCUGGUAACACUAGCACAGGUAGUGCUGAAACAGCUGCUUUGAGAGCCUGAAAUGCAGAAGUAGCUGCCUCAUUCCAAUCAAAACUGUUCUUUUUUAACUGAUCUCUGAGUGGUCUGGCGAUUUGGCCGUAAUUCUUGACAAAUCGGCGAUAGUAGCCAGUGAAUCCUAGGAAGCCUCUUAACUCAGUCACAGAUUUAGGUAAAGGCCACUGGAGCAUUGCUUCCACCUUUUCUGGAUCUGUUGCGACUCCUUGCUCAGAGAUAAUGUGUCCCAAAUAUGAGAUCCUAGUGCUUCCAAAUGUGCACUUUUUAAAAUUGGCAUAGAACUGAUGAAGAUGCAGUAGCUGUAAGACGGUUUCCAAAUGCUUCAAAUGUGUCUUCAUAUCAGGACUAUAAACUAGUAUAUCAUCGAAGAAAACCAAGACGAACUUUCGCAAGUAUGGCCUGAAUAGGUCAUUCAUGACGCUUUGAAAGGUGGAGGGGGCGUUGGUCAAGCCAAAUGGCAUUACCAGAAAUUCAUAAUGGCCCUCAUGUGUCUUGAAGGCAGUCUUCUCCACAUCACUCAGUUUCAUCCUUAUCUGGAAAUAGCCUGAUUUAAGAUCCAACUUUGAAAACACUGUGGCUCCUUUCAGUUCAUCCAAUAGCUCUUCUAUAACAGGAAUCGGAUACUUAUCGGGUAUUGUAGCUUCAUUCAAUGCUCGAUAAUCAACGCAGAAGCGCCAUCCUCCAUCUUUCUUUUUCACUAGGAGAACUGGACUUGAAUAUGGACUCACGCUAGGUCUUAUAAUCUGAGCAUUCAACAUUUCACGCACAAGCUUCUCUAUCUCAUUCUUUUGAGCAAAAGAAUACCUGUAUGGUCGGAUAUUGACUGGUGAAGACCCUUCUUGUAAGGUAAUGGCGUGUUCUCUGUUGCGAACUGGUGGCAAUAGCUGUGGAGUUUGAAAAACCCCUUGGUACUGAUCCAAAAGCCUCUGGAUUGCAGGCUGCAAGGCUGUUUGCUCUUCCUGUUUCUUGCUUUCAAACAAAGAUGCUAGUUCCAAGAGAUAUGCAGUUCCAGUGUAUUUGAUAACUCUUUCCAUAGACCUCAUCGAAAUUUGUCCUCUACAUAGAUCCGGGUCGCCGUAUAAGGAUACCCAUGUGCGACCUAUCUGCCAACUGAUCCUCAAAUCUCUCCAGUUGGCUCUUGUUUCUCCUAGUCCUGCCAACCAAGAAAAUCCCAGAACCAAAUCCAAAUCUCCCAAGUCAAAUAAGUAGUAGUCUUGUACAAACUCAAUUCCUUGGACCUCUAGUGGUAUAUCGACACACUUCCCACUACUUUUGAUGAUUCUGCCUCCACCAACUUUAACUCCAAAACUGCGAGUUUGAGUCACUAACCAUCCUUUCUCUCUUACCAAAGCCUCACUAAUGAAGUUGCAAGUUGCUCCUGAAUCAACCAAUAACACCACUUUGGUGUUGCCAAUGUAUCCCCUCAUUUUCAUUGACUGCUCUUGAGACUCAUCAUUCAAGGAGCUGAGUGUCAUUACCUUGAAACCUUCUGCAGGUUCUGGAUCCCCUUCUUCUUCUGUCAGUGGUUCAUUCAACUCUUCAAUUAGAGGACUCUCCUCUUCAACCUCUUCUGUUAUGGCUAGACCCUUGAGCUUUUGUGGUUUGCAUUUAUGGCCUUGAAACCAUCUAUCUCCACAGUAGCGGCACGGGUUUGAGUUCCUGGCUUCCCCACUGCCUGAAGCACGAGUUGUAUCCCUACUAGGAAUGAAGGGUUGUCUCGUUGGAGCACGGUCUACCACUCUAGAUCCUGUGGAGACCUGAUUGUUGAAUGGAGCUGUGUUGGUUCUAGCUUGAUUUCGCACUUGGUAACUAACAGCAUUCCGCUCUUGUGACUCAAUGAGUUUAGCUAUCUCAACAAUAUCUGCAAGAUUCACUGGCCUACAGCGAACUACCUGGUCUCGAAGACUUCUUCUCAGUCCAUUGAGGAAUGCAGAUUCCAAUAUGUCAGAUGUGACAUGGGGUAAGUCGACUGUGAGCUCUUCAAAACGUUCUCUGUAUUCCUCCACGGUUCCUGUUUGUCUCACGUUGAGGAGAUGAUCCACAGCAGAACUGCCUCUGCUUGGUCGAAAACGUAACAUGAACUUUUCUUGAAAUUCCCUCCAGGUAUAGAUUUGUUCUCUGUCCUUAGAGCAGCGCCACCAUGUAACUGAUGCUCCUGUUAAACAAGACACAGCCUUUUCCAGUUUUUCUUCCUCUAGGGUGCGAUUGGAUAAGAAGCACUGUUCUAGCCGGAACAACCAAUCGUCGGCAUUGCCUCCUUCAUAAGCCGGAUAAUCCACAGUCCUACGCGGGGCUGCUUCAAACCGAGGUUGAUGUGGCGCAGAUUGAGGCGGAAACGUUUGUGUUUGGAAGGUUGGAGUAGUCUGAAACCCCGUGGAAGGAUUAGAUGGAAAACCUGAAGAUGAUGGAAGACCCGUGGAGGCAUUCAGCUGAAACCCUGGUGGUUCUAAUGGUGACGAGUGAAAGCGACGCGGUUCGAAGGGUGAAGCUGGAAGUCGAGGUAUCUCUGAAGUCGACGCCUGGUAUCGCGACUGGUCAAAGAGUAAGGGCCGAGGGUGUGUGUCCCGUUGAUUUGUGCCGGAAAACAGAGUCUCUCUGUUCUGUACCUCCAAGUGUUGAGGAUGAGAGGUGUAGACUGGUAACGCCGGAGCUGGAGAAGAAAAACGGACUCCUCUAUUCGGUCCUUCCAGAUGUUGUGGGUANNNNNNNNNNNNNNNNNNNNNNNNNNNNNNNNNNNNNNNNNNNNNNNNNNNNNNNNNNNNNNNNNNNNNNNNNNNNNNNNNNNNNNNNNNNNNNNNNNNNAGCUCUCUUUGGGCUUUCCGAAAAGGUAUCACAUGCCAAGUUUGGCUUCACGGUCUAAACCUUAUAGACUCAUACAUUUUUCACAAAAAAAAGAAGAGAAAAACAAAAAAAAAGAGUGAUUAAACACGAGGACUUUCCUGGAGGUCACCCAUCCUAGUACUACUCUCGCCCAAGCACUCUUAACUGCGAAGUUCUGAUGGGAUCUGGUGCAUUAGUGCUGGUAUGAACGCAUCUGUUACUACAUGCAAUGCAAUCGUAUGUAUUCUUUUUUGAAGAUUUUAUGAUUCAUUUACCGUGGGUCCCACCAGCUAUGUAGGAAUAACCUAUCUUAUUUAUAAAAGCUUUGAUACAUGCAAAAUAUUCGAAAACAAUGUCCGAACAUAUAAUGUUCGCCCCAAAAUAUAGCAAAGACCACAAAAAUGCCAUAAAAAGUACAUUAAGGUCAAAAUUUGGAGUAGGAAAAAAAUCAAUAGGAGAAUUCCAUUUUCCUUCCCUCAUUCAUCGGAGAGCUCUCUUUGGGCAUUCCAAAAAGGUAUCACAUGCCAAGUUUGGCCUCACGGUCUAAAAGUUAUAGAGUAUUACAUUUUUAACAAAAAAAAAAAGAGAAAAACCGAAAAAAAGAGGGAUGCAACACGAAGACUUUUCUGGAGGUCACCCAUCCUAGUACUACUCUCCCCCAAGCACGCUUAACUGUGGUGUUCUGAUAGGAUCAAGUGCAUUAGUGCUGGUAUGAUCGCAUCAGUUACUACAUGCAAUGCAAUCAUAUAUAUUCUUUUUUGAAGACUUUAUGAUCCAUUUGCCGUAGGUCCCACCAGCUAUGUAGGAAUACCCUAUCUUGUUUAUAAGAGCUUUGAUACAUGCAAAAUAUUCGAAAACAAUGUCCGAACAUAUAAUUUUUGUCCCGUAAUAUAGCAAAGAUCACGAAAAGGUCAGAAAAAAUAUAUUUCGGUCAAAAUUUGGAGUAGAAAAAAAGCCCUUCCUCAUUCAUUGGACAGCUCUCUUUGGGCUUUCCGAAAAGGUAUCACAUGCCAAGUUUGGCCUCACGGUCUAAACCUUAUAGACUCAUACAUUUUUCAUAAAAAAAAGAAGAGAAAAACAAAAAAAAAAAGAGUGAUUAAACACGAGGACUUUCCUGGAGGUCACCCAUCCUAGUACUACUCUCGCCCAAGCACGCUUAACUACGAAGUUCCGAUGGGAUCUGAUGCAUUAGUGCUGGUAUGAUCGCAUCUGUUACUACAUGCAAUGCAAUCGUAUCUAUUCUUUUUUGAAGAUUUUAUGAUUCAUUUACUGUGGGUCCCACCAGCUAUGUAGGAAUAACCUAUCUUAUUUAUAAAAGCUUUGAUACAUGCAAAAUAUUGGAAAACAAUGUCCGAACAUAUAAUGUUCGCCCCAAAAUAUAGCAAAGACCACAAAAAUGCCAUAAAAAGUACAUUAAGGUCAAAAUUUGGAGUAGGAAAAAAAUCAAUAGGAGAAUUCCAUUUUCCUUCCCUCAUUCAUCGGAGAGCUCUCUUUGGGCAUUCCAAAAAGGUAUCACAUGCCAAGUUUGGCCUCACGGUCUAAAAGUUAUAGAGUAAUACAUUUUUAACAAAAAAAAAAAAGAAAAAAACCGAAAACAAAGAGGGAUGCAACACGAAGACUUUCCUGGAGGUCACCCAUCCUAGUACUACUCUCACCCAAGCACACUUAACUGUGGUGUUCUGAUAGGAUCAAGUGCAUUAGUGCUGGUAUGAUCGCAUCAGUUACUACAUGCAAUGCAAUCGUAUCUAUUAUUUUUUGAAGACUUUAUGAUCCAUUUGCCGUGGGUCCCACCAGCUAUGUAGGAAUACCCUAUCUUGUUUAUAAGAGCUUUGAUACAUCCAAAAUAUUCGAAAACAAUGUUGGAACGUAUAAGUUUUGCCCAGUAAUAUAGCAAAGAUCACGAAAAGGCCACAAAAAGUACAUUAAGGUAAAAAUUUAGAGUAGGAAACAAAAACAAUAGGAGAAUUCCAUUUUCCUUCCUCAAUCAUCGGAGAGUUCUUUUUGGGCUUUCCAAAAAGGUAUCACAUGCCAAGUUUGGCCUCACGGUCUAAAAGUUAUAGAGUAAUACAUUUUUAACAAAAAAAAAAAGAAAAAAACCGAAAACAAAGAGGGAUGCAACACGAAGACUUUCCUGGAGGUCACCUAUCCUAGUACUACUCUCGCCCAAGCACACUUAACUGUGGUGUUCUGAUAGGAUCAAGUGCAUUAGUGCUGGUAUGAUCGCAUCAGUUACUACAUGCAAUGCAAUCGUAUCUAUUAUUUUUUGAAGACUUUAUGAUCCAUUUGCCGUGGGUCCCACCAGCUAUGUAGGAAUACCCAAUCUUGUUUAUAAGAGCUUUGAUACAUCCAAAAUAUUCGAAAACAAUGUUGGAACGUAUAAGUUUUGCCCAGUAAUAUAGCAAAGAUCACGAAAAGGCCACAAAAAGUACAUUAAGGUAAAAAUUUAGAGUAGGAAACAAAAACAAUAGGAGAAUUCCAUUUUCCUUCCUCAAUCAUCGGAGAGUUCUUUUUGGGCUUUCCAAAAAGGUAUCACAUGCCAAGUUUGGCCUCACGGUCUAAAAGUUAUAGAGUCAUACAUUUUUAACAAAAAAGAGGGAUUUAACACGAGGACUUUCCGAGAGGUAACCCAUCCUAGUAGUACACUCGCCCAAGCACCCUUAACUACGGAGUUCUAAUGGGAUACGGUGCAUUAGUGCUCGUAUGAUCGCAUGUGUUACUACAUGCAAUGUAAUCGUAUCUAUUCUUUUUUAAAGACUUUAUGAUCCAUUUGCCGUGGGUCCCACCAGCUAUGUAGGAAUAUCCUAUAUUCUUUAUAAGAGCUUUGAUACAUGCAAAAUAUUCGAAAACAAUGUCCGAACAUAUAAUUUCCCCCCCGUAAUAUAGCAAAGAUCACGAAAAGGCCCAAAAAAGUACAUUAAGUUUAAAAUUUGGAGUAGAAAAAAAACCAAUAGAAAAAUUCCAUUUUCCUUCCUCAGUCAUCGAAGAGCUCUCUUUGGGCUUUCUGAAAAGGUAUCACAUGCCAAGUUUGGCCUCACGGUCUAAAAGUUAUAGAGUCAUACAUUUUUAACAAAACAAAAAGAGAAAAACCGAAAAAAACAGGGAUGCAACACGAGGACUUUCCUGGAGGUCUCCCAUCCUAGUACUACUCUCGCCCAAGCACCCUUAACUGCGUAGUUCUGAUGGGAUCCGAUGCAUUAGUGCUGGUAUGAUCGCAUCUGUUACUACAUGCAAUGUAAUCGUAUCUAUUCUUUUUUAAAGACUUUAUGAUCCAUUUGCCGUGGGUCCCACCAGCUAUGUAGGAAUACCCUAUCUUCUUAAUAAGAGCCUUGAUAAAUGCAAAAUAUUGGAAAACAAUGUCCGAACAUAUAAUGCCCCCCCCCCCGUAAUAUAGCAAAGAUCACGAAAAUGCCCAAAAAAGUACAUUUAGGUCAAAAUUUGAGUAGAAAAAAAAACAAUAGAAGAAUUCCAUUUUCCUUCCUCAUUUAUCGGAGAGCUCUCUUUGGGCUUUCCGAAAAGGUAUCACAUGACAAGUUUGGCCUCACGGUCUAAAAGAUAUAGAGUCAUACAUUAUUAACAAAACAAAAUAGAGAAAAACCGAAAAAAAAGAGGGAUGCAACGCGAGGACUUUCCGGGAGGUAAUCUAUCCUAGUACUACUCUCGCCCAAGCACCCUUACCUGCGGAGUUCUGAUGGGAUCCGGUGCAGUAGUGCUGGUAUGAUCGCAUGUGUUACUACAUGCAAUGCAAUCAUAUAUAUUCUUUUUUGAAGACUUUAUGAUCCAUUUGCCGUAGGUCCCACCAGCUAUGUAGGAAUACCCUAUCUUGUUUAUAAGAGCUUUGAUACAUGCAAAAUAUUCGAAAACAAUGUCCGAACAUAUAAUUUUUGUCCCGUAAUAUAGCAAAGAUCACGAAAAGGCCAGAAAAAAUACAUUUCGGUCAAAAUUUGGAGUAGAAAAAAACCCCUUCCUCAUUCAUUGGACAGCUCUCUUUGGGCUUUCCGAAAAGGUAUCACAUGCCAAGUUUGGUCUCACGGUUUAAAAGUUAUAGAGUCAUACAUUUUUCACAAAAAAAAGAAGAGAAAAAACAAAAAAAAGAGUGAUGAAACACGAGGACUUUCCUAGAGGUCACCCAUCCUAGUACUACUCUCGCCCAAGCACGCGUAACUGCGAAGUUCUGAUGGGAUCUGGUGCAUUAGUGCUGGUAUGAUCGCAUCUGUUACUACAUGCAAUGCAAUCGUAUCUAUUCUUUUUUGAAGAUUUUAUGAUCCAUUUGCAGUGGGUCCCACCAGCUAUGUAGGAAUACCCUAUCUUGUUUAUAAGAGCUUUGAUACAUGCAAAAUCUUCGAAAACAAUGUCCGAACAUAUAAUUUUCGCCCCGUAAUAUAGCAAAGAUCACGAAAAUGCCAAAAUAGUACAUUAAGGUCAAAAUUUGGAGUAGGAAAAAAAACCCUUCAUCAUUCAUUGGAGAGCUCUCUCUGGGCUUUCCGAAAAGGUAUCACAUGCCAAGUUUGGCCUCACGGUCUAAAAGUUAUAAAGUCAUACAUUUUUAACAAAAAAAAAAGAGAAAAACCGAAAAAAAGAGUUAUGUAACACGAGGACUUUCCUGGAGGUCACCCGUCCUAGUACUACUCUCGCCCAAACACGCUUAACUGUGGUGUUCUGAUAGGAUCAAGUGCAUUAGUGCUGGUAUGAUCGCAUCAGUUACUACAUGCAAUGCAAUCAUAUAUAUUCUUUUUUGAAAACUUUAUGAUCCAUUUGCCGUAGGUCCCACCAGCUAUGUCGGAAUACCCUAUCUUGUUUAUAAGAGCUUUGAUACAUGCAAAAUAUUCGAAAACAAUGUCCGAACAUAUAAUUUUUGUCCCGUAAUAUAGCAAAGAUCACGAAAAGGCCAAAAAAAAUACAUUUCGGUCAAAAUUUGGAGUAGAAAAAAACCCCUUCCUCAUUCAUUCGACAACUCUCUUUGGGCUUUCCGAAAAGGUAUCACAUGCCAAGUUUGGUCUCACGGUCUAAAAGUUAUAGAGUCAUACAUUUUUCACAAAAAAAAGAAGAGAAAAAACCAAAAAANAGAGUGAUGAAACACGAGGACUUUCCUGGAGGUCACUCAUGCUAGUACUACUCUCGCCCAAGCACGCUUAACUGCGAAGUUCUGAUGGGAUCNNNNNNNNNNNNNNNNNNNNNNNNNNNNNNNNNNNNNNNNNNNNNNNNNNNNNNNNNNNNNNNNNNNNNNNNNNNNNNNNNNNNNNNNNNNNNNNNNNNNUUAUGAUCCAUUUGCCGUGGGUCCCACCAGCUAUGUAGGAAUACCCUAUCUUCUUUAUAAGAGCUUUGAUACAUGGAAAAUAUUGGAAAACAAUGUCCGAACAUAUAAUUUCCCCCCCGUAAUAUAGCAAAGAUCACGAAAAGGCCCGAAAAAGUACAUUUAGUUUAAAAUUUGGAGUAGAAAAAAAAACAAUAGAAAAAAUCCAAUUUCCUCCCUCGUUCAUCGGAGAGCUCUCUUUGGGCUUUCCAAAAAGGUAUCACAAGACAAGUUUGGCCUCACCGUCUAAAAGUUAUAGAGUCAUACAUUUUUAACAAAACAAAAUAGAGAAAAACGGAAAAAAGAGGGAUGCAACAUGAGGACUUUCCGGGAGGUCACCCAUCCUAGUACUACUCUCGUCCAAGGACCCUUAACUGCGAAGUUCUGAUGGGAUCCGUUGCAUUAGUGCUGGUAUGAUCGCAUGUGUUACUACAUGCAAUGUAAUCGUAUCUAUUCUUUUUUAAAGACUUUAUGAUCCAUUUGCCGUGGGUCCCACCAGCUAUGUAGGAAAACCCAAUCUUCUUUAUAAGAGCUUUGAUACAUGCAAAAUAUUGGAAAACAAUGUCCGAACAUAUAAUUUUCCCCCAUAAUAUAGCAAAGAUCACGAAAAGGCCCGAAAAAGUACAUUUAGUUCAAAAUUUGGAGUAGAAAAAAAGGCAGUAAAAGAAUUCCAUUUUCCUUCCUCAGUGAUCGGAGAGCUCUCUUUGGACUUUCCGAAAAGGUAUCACAUGCCAAGUUUGGCCUCACGGUCUAAAAGUUAUAGAGUCAUACAUUUUUAACAAAACAAAAUAGAGAAAAACGGAAAAAAGAGGGAUGCAACACGAGGACUUUCCGGGAGGUCACCCAUCCUAGUACUACUUUCGCCCAAGCACCCUUAACUGCGGAGUUCUGAUGGGAUCCGGUGCAUUAGUGCUGGUAUGAUCGCAUGUGUUACUACAUGCAAUGUAAUCAUAUUUCUUGUUAUUUAAAGAUUUUAUGAUCCAUUUGCCGUGGGUCCCACCAGCUAUGUAGGAAUACCUUAUCUUCUUUAUAGGAGCUUUGAUACAUGCAAAAUAUUGGAAAACAAUAUCCGAACAUAUAUCUUUCCCCCCGUAAUAUAGCAAAGAUCGCGAAAAGGCCCGAAAAAGUACAUUUAGGUCAAAAUUUGGAGUAGAAAAAAAAAGCAAUAGAAGAAUUCCAUUUUCCUUCCUCAGUCAUCGGAGAGCUCUCUUUGGGCUUUCCGAAAAGGUAUCACAUGCCAAGUUUGGCCUCAUGGUCUAAAAGUUAUAGAGCCAUACAUUUUUAACAAAACAAAAUAGAGAAAAACCAAAAAAAGAGAGGGAUGCAACACGAGGACUUUCCGGGAGGUCACCCAUCCUAGUACUACUCUCGCCCAAGCACCCUUAACUGCGGAGUUCUGAUGGGAUCCAGUGCAUUAGUGCUGGUAUGAUCGCAUGUGUUACUACAUGCAAUGUAAUCGUAUCUAUUCUUUUUUAAAGAUUAUAUGAUCCAUUUGCCGUGGGUCCCACCAGCUAUGUAGGAAUACCCUAUCUUCUUUAUAAGAGCUUUGAUACAUGCAAAAUAUUGGAAAACAAUGUCCGAACAUAUAAUUUUCCCCCCGUAAUAUAGCAAAGAUCACGAAAAGGCCCAAAAAAGUACAUUUAGGUCAAAAUUUGGAGUUGAAAAAAAACAAAAAGAAGAAUUCCAUUUUCCUUCCUCAUUCAUUGGAGAGCUCUCUUUGGGCUUUCCGAAAAGGUAUCACAUGCCAUGUUUAGCCUCACGGUCUAAAAGUUAUAGAGUCAUACAUUUUUAACAAAACAAAAUAGAGAAAAACCAAAAAAACGAGGGAUGCAACACGAGGACUUUCUGGGAAGUCACCUAUCCUAGUACUACUCUCGCCCAAGCACCCUUAACUGCGGAGUUCUGAUGGGAUCCGGUGCAUUAGUGCUGGUAUGAUUGCAUGUGUUACUACAUGCAAUGUAAUCGUAUCUAAUGCUUUUAAAGACUUUAUGAUCCAUUUGCCGUGGGUCCCCACAAGCUAAGUAGGAAUACCCUAUCUUCUUUAUAAGAGUUUUCAUACAUGCAAAAUAUGGAAAACAAUGUCCGAACAUAUAUUUUCCCCCCGUAAUAUAGCAAAGAUCACGAAAAGGCCCACAAAAAGUACAUUUAGUUCAAAAUUUGGAGUAGAAAAAAAAACAAUAGAAAAGUUCCAAUUUCNNNNNNNNNNNNNNNNNNNNNNNNNNNNNNNNNNNNNNNNNNNNNNNNNNGGGUCCCACCAGCUACGUAGGAAUACCCUAUCUUGUUUAUAAGAGCUUUGAUACAUGCAAAAUAUUCGAAAACAAUGUCCGAACAUAUAAUUUUCGUCCCGUAAUAUAGCAAAGAUCACAAAAAGGCCAGAAAGAGUACAUUUACGUCAAAAUUUGGAUAGAAAAAAAACGAAUAGAAGAAUUCCAUUUUGACUUCCUCAUUCAUCGGAAAGCUCUCUUUGGGCUUUCCGAAAAGGUAUCACAUGCCAAGUUUGGAAUCACGGUUUAAAAGUUAUAGAGUCAUACAUUUUUAACAAAAAAUAAAGAGAAAACCCGAAAAAUGAGGGAUGCAACACGAGGACUUUUCGGGAGGUCACCCAUCGUAGUACUACUCUCGCCCAAGCACGCUUAACUGUAGAGUUCUGAUGGGAUCCGGUUCAUUAUUGCUGGUAUGAUCGCAUCCGUUACUACAUGCAAUGCAAUCGUAUCUAUUCUUUUUUGAAGACUUUAUGAUCCAUUUGCCGUGGGUCCCACCAGCUAUGUUGGAAUACCCUAUCUUGUUUAUAAGAGCUUUGUUACAUGCAAAAUAUUCGAAAACAAUGUCCGAACAUAUAAUAUUUGCCCCGUAAUAUAGCAAAGAUCACGAAAAGGCCAGAAAACCUAUAUUAAGUUCAAAAUUUGGAGUAGAAAAAAACCAAUAGAAGAAUUCCAUUUUCCUUCCUCACUCAUCGGAGAGCUCUCUUUGGGGCUUUCCGAAAAGGUAUCACAUGCAAAGUUUGGCCUCACAGGCUAAAAGUUAUAGAGUCGUACAUUUUUAACAAAAAAAAAAAGAGAAAAGCCGAAAAAAAGAAGGAUGCAACACAAGGACUUUCCGGGAGGUCAGCCAUCCUAAUAUUACUCUCGCCCAAGCACGCUUAACUGUAGAGUUCUGAUGGGAUCCGGUGCAUUAGUGCUGGUAUGAUCGCAUCUGUUACUACAUGCAAUGCAAUCGUAUCUAUUCUUUUUUUAAGACUUUAUGAUCCAUUUACCGUGGGUCCCACCAGCUACGUAGGAAUAACCUAUCUUAUUUAUAAGAGCUUUGAUACAUGCAAAAUAUUCGAAAACAAUGUCCGAACAUAUAAUUUUCGUCCCGUAAUAUAGCAAAGAUCACAAAAAGGCCAGAAAGAGUACAUUAAGGUCAAAAUUUUGGAGUAGAAAAAAAAACCCUUCCUCAUUCAUUAAAGAGCUCUCUUUGGCAUUUCCGAAAAGGUGUCACAUGCCAAGUUCGGCCUCACGGUCUAAAAGUUAUAGAGUCAUACAUUGUUAACAAAAAAAAAGAGAAAAACCGAUUAAAAGAGUUAUGCAACACAAGGACUUUCCUGGAGGUCACCCGUCCUAGUACUACUCUCGCCCAAGCACGCUUAAAUGCGGAGUUCUGAUGGGAUCCGGUCCAUGAGUGGUGGUAUGAUCACAUCCGUUACUACAUGCAAUGCAAUCGUAUCUAUUAUUUUUUGAAGACUUUAUGAUCCAUUUGCCGUGGGUCCCACCAGCUAUGUAGGAAUACCCUAUCUUGUUUAUAAGAGCUUUGAUACAUCCAAAAUAUUCGAAAACAAUGUUGGAACGUAUAAGUUUCGCUCAGUAAUAUAGCAAAGAUCACGAAAAGGCCACAAAAAGUACAUUAAGGUAAAAAUUUAGAGUAGGAAAAAAAAACAAUAGGAGAAUUCCAUGUUCCUUCCUCAAUCAUCGGAGAGCUCUCUUUGGGCUUUCCAAAAAGGUAUCACAUGCCAAGUUUGGCCUCACGGUCUAAAAGUUAUAGAGUCAUACAUUUUUAACAAAAAAAAAUAGAGAAAAACCAAAAAAAAGAGGGAUGCAACACGAAGACUUUCCUGGAGGUCACCCAUCCUAGUACUACUCUCGCCCAAGCACGCUUAACUGCGGUGUUCUGAUAGGAUCAAGUGCAUUAGUGCUGGUAGGAUCGCAUUCGUUACUACAUGCAAUGCAAUUAUAUAUAUUCUUUUUUGAAGACUUUAUGAUCCAUUUGCGGUAGGUCCCACCAGCUAUGUAGGAAUACCCUAUCUUGCUUAUAAGAGUUUUGAUACAUGCAAAAAUAUUCGAAAACAAUGUCCGAACAUAUAAUUUUUGUCCCGUAAUAUAACAAAGAUCACGAAAAGGCCAAAAAUAGUACAUUUCGGUCAAAACAUGGAGCAGAAAAAAAACCCCUUCCUCAUUCAUCGGAGAGCUCUCAUUGGGCUUUCCGAAAAGAUAUCACAUGCAAAGUUUGGCCUCACGGUUUAAAAGUUAUAGAGUCAAAUAUUUUUAACAAAAAAAAGAGAGAAAAACCGAAAACAAAGAGGGAUGCAACACGAGGACUUUCCGGAAGGUCACCCAUCCUAGUACUACUCUAGCCCAAGCACGCUUAACCGCGGAGUUCUGAUAGGAUCCGGUGCAUUAGUGCUGGUAUGAUCGCAUCAGUUACUACAUGCAAUGCAAUCAUAUAUAUUUUUUUUGAAGACUUUAUGAUCCAUUUGCCGUGGGUCCCACCAGCUAUGUAGGAAUACCUAUCUUGUUUAUAAGAGCUUUGAUACAUGCAAAAUAUUUGAAAACAAUGUCCGAACGUAUAAUCUUCGUCCCGUAAUAUAGCAAAGAUCACGAAAAGGCCAGAAAAAGUACAUUAAGGUCAAAAUUUUGACUAGAAAAAAAAAACAAUAGAAAAAUUCCAUUGUCCUUCCUCAUUCAUCGGAGAGUUCUCUUUGGGCUUUCCGAAAAGGUAUCACAUGCCAAGUUUGGCCUCACGGUCUAAAACUUAUAGAAUCAUACAUUCUUAACAAAAAAAAAAAAAAAACCGAAAAAAAGAAGAAUGCAACACAAGGACUUUCCAGGAGGUCAACCAUCCUAGUAGUACUCUCGCCCAAUCACGCUUAACUGCAGAGUUCUGAUGGGAUCCGGUGCAUUAGUGCUGGUAUGAUCGCAUCUGUUACUACAUGCAAUGCAAUCGUAUCUAUUCUUUUUUGAAGACUUUAUGAUCCAUUUGCCGUGGGUCCCACCAGCUAUGUAGGAAUACCUUAUCUUGUUUAUAAGAGCUUUGAUACAUGCAAAAUAUUCGAAUACAAUGUCUGAACGUAUAACUUUCGCCCCGUAAUAUAGCGAAGAUCACGAAAAGGCCCGAAAAAGUACAUUAAGGUCAAAAUUUCGAGUAGAAAUAAAAACCAAUAGAAGAAUUCCAAUUUCCUUCCUCAUUCAUUGGAGAGCUCUCUUUGGGCUUUCCGAAAAGGUAUCACAUGCGAAGUUUCGCCUCACAAUCUAAAAGUUAUAUAGUCAUACAUUUUUAACAAAACAAAUAGAGAAAAACCGAAAAAAAGAAUGAUACAACACAACGACUUUCCCGGAGGUCACCCAUCCUAAUACUAUUCUCGCCCAAGCAAGCUUAACUGCAGAGUAUUGAUGGGAUCUGAUGCAUAAGUGCUGAUAUGAUCGCAUCCGUUACUACAUGCAAUGCAAUCGUAUCUAUUCGUUUUUGAAGACUUUAUGAUCCAUUUGCCGUGGGUCCCACCAGCUAUGUAGGAAUACCCUAUCUUGUUUAUAAGAGCUUUGAUACAUGCAAAAAAUUGGAAAACAAUGUCUGAACAUAUAAUUUUUGUCCCGUAAUAUAGCAAAGAUCACGAAAAGGAUAGAAAAAGUACAUUAAGGUCAAAAUUUUGAGUAGAAAAAAAAUCAAUAGAAGGAUUCCAAUUUCCUUGCUCAUUCAUAUAGCUCUCUUUGGGCUUUCCGAAAAGGUAUCACAUGCAAAGUUUGGCCUCGCGGUCUAAAAGUUAUAGAGGUAUACUUUUUUACCAAAAAAAAAGAAGAAAAAAACCAAAAAAAAGAGGGAUUCAACACGAGGACUUUCUGGGAGGUCACUCAUCCUAUUACUACUCUCGCCCAAGCACGCUUAACUGCGGAGUUCUGAUAGGAUCCAGUGCAUUAGUGCGGGUAUGAUCACAUCCGUUACUACAUGCAAUGCAAUCGUAUAUAUUUUUUUUGAAGACUUUAUGAUCCAUUUGCCGUGGGUCUCACCAGCUAUAUAGGAAUACCCUAUCUUGUUUAUAAGAGCUUUGAUACAUGCAAAAUAUUUGAAAACAAUGUCCGAACGUAUAAUCUUCGUCCCGUAAUAUAGCAAAGAUCACUAAAAGGCUAGAAAAAGUACAUUAAGAUCAAAAUUUUGAGUAGAAAAAUAAACAAUAGAAAAAUUCCAUUGUCCUUCCUCAUUCAUCGGAGAGUUCUCUUUGGGCUUUCCGAAAAGGUAUCACAUGCCAAGUUUGGCCUCACGGUCUAAAACUUAUAGAAUCAUACAUUCUUAACAAAAAAAAAAGAGAAAAACCGAAAAAAAGAAGAAUUUAACACAAGGACUUUCCAGGAGGUCAACCAUCCUAGUAGUACUCUCGCCCAAUCACGCUUAACUGCAGAGUUCUGAUGGGAUCCGGUGCAUUAGUGCUGGUAUGAUCGCAUCUGUUACUACAUGCAAUGCAAUCGUAUCUGUUACUACAUGCAAUGCAAUCGUAUCUGUUACUACAUGCAAUGCAAUCGUAUCUAUUCUUUUUUGAAGACUUUAUGAUCCAUUUGCCGUGGGUCCCACCAGCUAUGUAGGAAUACCCUAUCUUGUUUAUAAGAGCUUUGAUACAUGCAAAAUAUUCGAAUACAAUGUCUAAACGUAUAAGUUUCGCCCCGUAAUAUAGCGAAGAUCACGAAAAGGCCCGAAAAAGUACAUUAAGGUCAAAAUUUGGAGUAGAAAUAAAAACCAAUAGAAGAAUUCCAAUUUCCUUCCUCAUUCAUUGGAGAGCUCUCUUUGGGCUUUCCGAAAAGGUAUCACAUGCGAAGUUUGGCCUCACAAUCUAAAAGUUAUAUAGUCAUACAUUUUUAACAAAACAAAUAGAGAAAAACCGAAAAAAAGAAUGAUACAACACAAGGACUUUCCGGGAGGUCACCCAUCCUAAUACUAUUCUCGCCCAAGCAAGCUUAACUGCAGAGUAUUGAUGGGAUCUGAUGCAUAAGGGCUGAUAUGAUCGCAUCCGUUACUACAAGCAAUGCAAUCGUAUCUAUUCGUUUUUGAAGACUUUAUGAUCCAUUUGCCGUGGGUCCCACCAGCUAUGUAGGAAUACCCUAUCUUGUUUAUAAGAGCUUUGAUACAUGCAAAAAAUUGGAAAACAAUGUCUGAACAUAUAAUUUUUGUCCCGUAAUAUAGCAAAGAUCACGAAAAGGAUAGAAAAAGUACAUUAAGGUCAAAAUUUUGAGUAGAAAAAAAAUCAAUAGAAGGAUUCCAAUUUCCUUCCUCAUUCAUAUAGCUCUCUUUGGGCUUUCCGAAAAGGUAUCACAUGCAAAGUUUGGCCCCGCGGUCUAAAAGUUAUAGAGGUAUACAUUUUUACCAAAAAAAAGAGGGAUUCAACACGAGGACUUUUUUNNNNNNNNNNNNNNNNNNNNNNNNNNNNNNNNNNNNNNNNNNNNNNNNNNUGCUGGUAUGAUCGCAUCAGUUACUACAUGCAAUGCAAUCAUAUAUAUUCUUUUUUGAAGACUUUAUGAUCCAUUUGCCGUAGGUCCCACCAGCUAUGUAGGAAUACCCUAUCUUGUUUAUAAGAGCUUUGAUACAUGCAAAAUAUUCGAAAACAAUGUCCGAACAUAUAAUUUUUGUCCCGUAAUAUAGCAAAGAUCACGAAAAGGCCAGAAAAAAUACAUUUCGGUCAAAAUUUGGAGUAGAAAAAAAGCCCUUCCUCAUUCAUUGGACAGCUCUCUUUGGGCUUUCCGAAAAGGUAUCACAUGCCAAGUUUGGCCUCACGGUCUAAACCUUAUAGACUCAUACAUUUUUCACAAAAAAAAGAAGAGAAAAACCAAAAAAAAGAGUGAUUAAACACGAGGAUUUUCCUGGAGGUCACCCAUCCUAGUACUACUCUCGCCCAAGCACGCUUAACUGCGAAGGUCUGAUGGGAUAUGGUGCAUUAGUGCUGGUAUGAUCGCAUCUGUUACUACAUGCAAUGCAAUCGUAUCUAUUCUUUUUUGAAGAUUUGAUGAUUCAUUUACCGUGGGUCCCACCAGCUAUGUAGGAAUAACCUAUCUUAUUUAUAAAAGCUUUGAUACAUGCAAAAUAUUCGAAAACAAUGUCCGAACAUAUAAUGUUCGCCCCAAAAUAUAGCAAAGACCACAAAAAUGCCAUAAAAAGUACAUUAAGGUCAAAAUUUGGAGUAGGAAAAAAAUCAAUAGGAGAAUUCCAUUUUCCUUCCCUCAUUCAUCAGAGAGCUCUCUUUGGGCAUUCCAAAAAGGUAUCACAUGCCAAGUUUGGCCUCACGGUCUAAAAGUUAUAGAGUAUUACAUUUUUAACAAAAAAAAAAGGGAAAAACCGAAAAAGAGGGAUGCAACACGAAGACUUUUCUGGAGGUCACCCAUUCUAGUACUACUCUCCCCCAAGCACGCUUAACUGUGGUGUUCUAAUAGGAUCAAGUGCAUUAGUGCUGGUAUGAUCGCAUCAGUUACUACAUGCAAUGCAAUCAUAUAUAUUCUUUUUUGAAGACUUUAUGAUCCAUUUGCCGUAGGUCCCACCAGCUAUGUAGGAAUACCCUAUCUUGUUUAUAAGAGCUUUGAUACAUGCAAAAUAUUCGAAAACAAUGUCCGAACAUAUAAUUUUUGUCCCGUAAUAUAGCAAAGAUCACGAAAAGGCCAGAAAAAAUACAUUUCGGUCAAAAUUUGGAGUAGAAAAAAAGCCCUUCCUCAUUCAUUGGACAGCUCUCUUUGGGCUUUCCGAAAAGGUAUCAUAUGCCAAGUUUGGCCUCACGGUCUAAACCUUAUAGACUCAUACAUUUUUCACAAAAAAAAGAAGAGAAAAACCAAAAAAAAGAGUGAUUAAACACGAGGACUUUCCUGGAGGUCAUCCAUCCUAGUACUACUCUCGCCCAAGCACGCUUAAUUGCGAAGUUCUGAUGGGAUCUGGUGCAUUAGUGCUGGUAUGAUCGCAUAUGUUACUACAUGCAAUGCAAUCGUAUCUAUUCUUUUUUGAAGAUUUUAUGAUUCAUUUACCGUGGGUACCACCAGCUAUGUAGGAAUAACCUAUCUUAUUUAUAAGAGCUUUGAUACAUGCAAAAUAUUCGAAAACAAUGUCCGAACAUAUAAUUUUUGUCCCGUAAUAUAGCAAAGAUCACGAAAAGGCCAGAAAAAAUACAUUUCGGUCAAAAUUUGGAGUAGAAAAAAACCCUUCCUCAUUCAUUGGACAGCUCUGUUUGAGCUUUCCGAAAAGGUAUCACAUGCCAAGUUUGGCCUCACGGUCUAAAAGUUAUAGAGUCAUACAUUUUUCACAAAAAAAAGAAGAGAAAAACCAAAAAAAAGAGUGAUGAAACACGAGGACUUUCCUGGAGGUCACCCAUCCUAGUACUACUCUCGCCCAAGCACGCGUAACUGCGAAGUUCUGAUGGGAUCUGGUGCAUUAGUGCUGGUAUGAUCGCAUCUGUUACUACAUGCAAUGCAAUCGUAUCUAUUCUUUUUUGAAGAUUUUAUGAUUCAUUUACCGUGGGUCCCACCAGCUAUGUAGGAAUAACCUAUCUUAUUUAUAAGAGCUUUGAUACAUGCAAAAUAUUGGAAAACAAUGUCCGAACAUAUAAUGUUCGCCCCAAAAUAUAGCAAAGACAACAAAAAUCCCAUAAAAAGUACAUUAAGGUCAAAAUUUGGAGUAGGAAAAAAAUCAAUAAGAGAAUUCCAUUUUCCUUCCCUCAUUCAUCGGAGAGGUCUCUUUGGGCAUUCCAAAAAGGUAUCACAUGCCAAGUUUGGCCUCACGGUCUAAAAGUUAUAGAGUAAUACAUUUUUAACAAAAAAAAAAGAGAAAAACCGAAAAAAAGAGGGAUGCAACACGAAGACUUUUCUGGAGGUCACCCAUCCUAGUACUACUCUCCCAAAGCACGCUUAACUGUGGUGUUCUGAUAGGAUCAAGUGCAUUAGUGCGGGUAUGAUCGCAUCAGUUACUACAUGCAAUGCAAUCAUAUAUAUUCUUUUUUGAAGACUUUAUGAUCCAUUUGCCGUAGGUCCCACCAGCUAUGUAGGAAUACCCUAUCUUGUUUAUAAGAGCUUUGAUACAUGCAAAAUAUUCGAAAACAAUGUCCGAACAUAUAAUUUUUGUCCCGUAAUAUAGCAAAGAUCACGAAAAGGCCAGGAAAAAUACAUUUCGGUCAAAAUUUGGAGUAGAAAAAAAACCCUUCCUCAUUCAUUGGACAGCUCUCUUUGGGCUUUCCGAAAAGGUAUCACAUGCCAAGUUUGGCCUCACGGUCUAAAAGUUAUAGAUUCAUACAUUUUUCACAAAAAAAAGAAGAGAAAAACCAAAAAAAAGAGGGAUGAAACACGAGGACUUUCCCAGAGGUCACCCAUCCUAGUACUACUCUCGCCCAAGCACGCUUAACUGCGAAGUUCUGAUGGGAUCUGGUGCAUUAGUGCUGGUAUGAUCGCAUCUGUUACUACAUGCAAUGCAAUCGUAUCUAUUCUUUUUUGAAGAUUUUAUGAUUCAUUUACCGUGGGUCCCACCAGCUAUGUAGGAAAACCUAUCUUAUUUAUAAGAUCUUUGAUACAUGCAAAAUAUUGGAAAACAAUGUCCGAACAUAUAAUGUUCGCCCCAAAAUAUAGCGAAGACCACAAAAAUGCCAUAAAAAGUACAUUAAGGUCAAAAUUUGGAGUAGGAAAAAAAUCAAUAGGAGAAUUCCAUUUUCCUUCCCUCAUUCAUCGGAGAGCUCUCUUUGGGCAUUCCAAAAAGGUAUCACAUGCCAAGUUUGGCCUCACGGUCUAAAAGUUAUAGAAUAUUACAUUUUUAACAAAAAAAAAGAGAAAAACCAAAAAAAAGAGGGAUGCAACACGAGGACUUUUCUGGAGGUCACCCAUCCUACUACUACUCUCGCCCAAGCACACUUAACUGCGGUGUUCUGAUAGGAUCAAGUGCAUUAGUGCUGGUAUGAUCGCAUCAGUUACUACAUGCAAUGCAAUCAUAUAUAUUCUUUUUUGAAGACUUUAUGAUCCAUUUGCCGUAGGUCCCACCAGCUAUGUAGGAAUACCCUAUCUUGUUUAUAAGAGCUUUGAUACAUGCAAAAUAUUCGAAAACAAUGUCCGAACAUAUAAUUUUUGUCCCGUAAUAUAGCAAAGAUCACGAAAAGGCCAGAAAAAAUACAUUUUGGUCAAAAUUUGGAGUAGAAAAAAAGCCCUUCCUCAUUCAUUGGACAGCUCUCUUUGGGCUUUCCGAAAAGGUAUCACAUGCCAAGUUUGGCCUCACGGUCUAAACCUUAUAGACUCAUACAUUUUUCACAAAAAAAAGAAGAGAAAAACCAAAAAAAAGAGUGAUUAAACACGAGGAUUUUCCUGGAGGUCACCCAUCCUAGUACUACUCUCGCCCAAGCACGCUUAACUGCGAAGGUCUGAUGGGAUAUGGUGCAUUAGUGCUGGUAUGAUCGCAUCUGUUACUACAUGCAAUGCAAUCGUAUCUAUUCUUUUUUGAAGAUUUGAUGAUUCAUUUACCGUGGGUCCCACCAGCUAUGUAGGAAUAACCUAUCUUAUUUAUAAAAGCUUUGAUACAUGCAAAAUAUUCGAAAACAAUGUCCGAACAUAUAAUGUUCGCCCCAAAAUAUAGCAAAGAUCACAAAAAUGCCAUAAAAAGUACAUUAAGGUCAAAAUUUGGAGUAGGAAAAAAAUCAAUAGGAGAAUUCCAUUUUCCUUCCCUCAUUCAUCGGAGAGCUCUCUUUGGGCAUUCCAAAAAGGUAUCACAUGCCAAGUUUGGCCUCACGGUCUAAAAGUUAUAGAGUAUUACAUUUUUAACAAAAAAAAAAGGGAAAAACCGAAAAAGAGGGAUGCAACACGAAGACUUUUCUGGAGGUCACCCAUCCUAGUACUACUCUCCCCCAAGCACGCUUAACUGUGGUGUUCUAAUAGGAUCAUGUGCAUUAGUGCUGGUAUGAUCGCAUCAGUUACUACAUGCAAUGCAAUCAUAUAUAUUCUUUUUUGAAGACUUUAUGAUCCAUUUGCCGUAGGUCCCACCAGCUAUGUAGGAAUACCCUAUCUUGUUUAUAAGAGCUUUGAUACAUGCAAAAUAUUCGAAAACAAUGUCCGAACAUAUAAUUUUUGUCCCGUAAUAUAGCAAAGAUCACGAAAAGGCCAGAAAAAAUACAUUUCGGUCAAAAUUUGGAGUAGAAAAAAAGCCCUUCCUCAUUCAUUGGACAGCUCUCUUUGGGCUUUCCGAAAAGGUAUCAUAUGCCAAGUUUGGCCUCACGGUCUAAACCUUAUAGACUCAUACAUUUUUCACAAAAAAAAGAAGAGAAAAACCAAAAAAAAGAGUGAUUAAACACGAGGACUUUCUUGGAGGUCAUCCAUCCUAGUACUACUCUCGCCCAAGCACGCUUAACUGCGAAGUUCUGAUGGGAUCUGGUGCAUUAGUGCUGGUAUGAUCGCAUCUGUUACUACAUGCAAUGCAAUCGUAUCUAUUCUUUUUUGAAGAUUUUAUGAUUCAUUUACCGUGGGUACCACCAGCUAUGUAGGAAUAACCUAUCUUAUUUAUAAGAGCUUUGAUACAUGCAAAAUAUUCGAAAACAAUGUCCGAACAUAUAAUUUUUGUCCCGUAAUAUAGCAAAGAUCACGAAAAGGCCAGAAAAAAUACAUUUUGGUCAAAAUUUGGAGUAGAAAAAAACCCUUCCUCAUUCAUUGGACAGCUCUGUUUGAGCUUUCCGAAAAGGUAUCACAUGCCAAGUUUGGCCUCACGGUCUAAAAGUUAUAGAGUCAUACAUUUUUCACAAAAAAAAAGAAGAGAAAAACCAAAAAAAAGAGUGAUGAAACACGAGGACUUUCCUGGAGGUCACCCAUCCUAGUACUACUCUCGCCCAAGCACGCGUAACUACGAAGUUCUGAUGGGAUCUGGUGCAUUAGUGCUGGUAUGAUCGCAUCUGUUACUACAUGCAAUGCAAUCGUAUCUAUUCUUUUUUGAAGAUUUUAUGAUUCAUUUACCGUGGGUCCCACCAGCUAUGUAGGAAUAACCUAUCUUAUUUAUAAGAGCUUUGAUACAUGCAAAAUAUUGGAAAACAAUGUCCGAACAUAUAAUGUUCGCCCCAAAAUAUAGCAAAGACAACAAAAAUGCCAUAAAAAGUACAUUAAGGUCAAAAUUUGGAGUAGGAAAAAAAUCAAUAAGAGAAUUCCAUUUUCCUUCCCUCAUUCAUCGGAGAGCUCUCUUUGGGCAUUCCAAAAAGGUAUCACAUGCCAAGUUUGGCCUCACGGUCUAAAAGUUAUAGAGUAGUACAUUUUUAACAAAAAAAAAAGAGAGAAACCGAAAAAAAGAGGGAUGCAACACGAAGACUUUUCUGGAGGUCACCCAUCCUAGUACUACUCUCCCAAAGCACGCUUAACUGUGGUGUUCUGAUAGGAUCAAGUGCAUUAGUGCGGGUAUGAUCGCAUCAGUUACUACAUGCAAUGCAAUCAUAUAUAUUCUUUUUUGAAGACUUUAUGAUCCAUUUGCCGUAGGUCCCACCAGCUAUGUAGGAAUACCCUAUCUUGUUUAUAAGAGCUUUGAUACAUGCAAAAUAUUCGAAAACAAUGUCCGAACAUAUAAUUUUUGUCCCGUAAUAUAGCAAAGAUCACGAAAAGGCCAGGAAAAAUACAUUUCGGUCAAAAUUUGGAGUAGAAAAAAAACCCUUCCUCAUUCAUUGGACAGCUCUCUUUGGGCUUUCCGAAAAGGUAUCACAUGCCAAGUUUGGCCUCACGGUCUAAAAGUUAUAGAUUCAUACAUUUUUCACAAAAAAAAGAAGAGAAAAACCAAAAAAAAGAGGGAUGAAACACGAGGACUUUCCCAGAGGUCACCCAUCCUAGUACUACUCUCGCCCAAGCACGCUUAACUGCGAAGUUCUGAUGGGAUCUGGUGCAUUAGUGCUGGUAUGAUCGCAUCUGUUACUACAUGCAAUGCAAUCGUAUCUAUUCUUUUUUGAAGAUUUUAUGAUUCAUUUACCGUGGGUCCCACCAGCUAUGUAGGAAAACCUAUCUUAUUUAUAAGAUCUUUGAUACAUGCAAAAUAUUGGAAAACAAUGUCCGAACAUAUAAUGUUCGCCCCAAAAUAUAGCGAAGACCACAAAAAUGCCAUAAAAAGUACAUUAAGGUCAAAAUUUGGAGUAGGAAAAAAAUCAAUAGGAGAAUUCCAUUUUCCUUCCCUCAUUCAUCGGAGAGCUCUCUUUGGGCAUUCCAAAAAGGUAUCACAUGCCAAGUUUGGCCUCACGGUCUAAAAGUUAUAGAAUAUUACAUUUUUAACAAAAAAAAAGAGAAAAACCGAAAAAAAGAGGGAUGCAACACGAAGACUUUUCUGGAGGUCACCCAUCCUACUACUACUCUCGCCCAAGCACACUUAACUGCGGUGUUCUGAUAGGAUCAAGUGCAUUAGUGCUGGUAUGAUCGCAUCAGUUACUACAUGCAAUACAAUCAUAUAUAUUCUUUUUUGAAGACUUUAUGAUCCAUUUGCCGUAGGUCCCACCAGCUAUGUAGGAAUACCUUAUCUUGUUUAUAAGAGCUUUGAUACAUGCAAAAUAUUCGAAAACAAUGUCCGAACAUAUAAUUUUUGUCCCGUAAUAUAGCAAAGAUCACGAAAAGGCCAGAAAAAAUACAUUUCGGUCAAAAUUUGGAGUAGAAAAAAAACCCUUCCUCAUUCAUUGGACAGCUCUCUUUGGGCUUUCCGAAAAGGUAUCACAUGCCAAGUUUGGCUUCACGGUCUAAACCUUAUAGACUCAUACAUUUUUCACAAAAAAAAGAAGAGAAAAACAAAAAAAAAGAGUGAUUAAACACGAGGACUUUCCUGGAGGUCACCCAUCCUAGUACUACUCUCGCCCAAGCACUCUUAACUGCGAAGUUCUGAUGGGAUCUGGUGCAUUAGUGCUGGUAUGAACGCAUCUGUUACUACAUGCAAUGCAAUCGUAUGUAUUCUUUUUUGAAGAUUUUAUGAUUCAUUUACCGUGGGUCCCACCAGCUAUGUAGGAAUAACCUAUCUUAUUUAUAAAAGCUUUGAUACAUGCAAAAUAUUCGAAAACAAUGUCCGAACAUAUAAUGUUCGCCCCAAAAUAUAGCAAAGACCACAAAAAUGCCAUAAAAAGUACAUUAAGGUCAAAAUUUGGAGUAGGAAAAAAAUCAAUAGGAGAAUUCCAUUUUCCUUCCCUCAUUCAUCGGAGAGCUCUCUUUGGGCAUUCCAAAAAGGUAUCACAUGCCAAGUUUGGCCUCACGGUCUAAAAGUUAUAGAGUAUUACAUUUUUAACAAAAAAAAAAAGAGAAAAACCGAAAAAAAGAGGGAUGCAACACGAAGACUUUUCUGGAGGUCACCCAUCCUAGUACUACUCUCCCCCAAGCACGCUUAACUGUGGUGUUCUGAUAGGAUCAAGUGCAUUAGUGCUGGUAUGAUCGCAUCAGUUACUACAUGCAAUGCAAUCAUAUAUAUUCUUUUUUGAAGACUUUAUGAUCCAUUUGCCGUAGGUCCCACCAGCUAUGUAGGAAUACCCUAUCUUGUUUAUAAGAGCUUUGAUACAUGCAAAAUAUUCGAAAACAAUGUCCGAACAUAUAAUUUUUGUCCCGUAAUAUAGCAAAGAUCACGAAAAGGUCAGAAAAAAUAUAUUUCGGUCAAAAUUUGGAGUAGAAAAAAAGCCCUUCCUCAUUCAUUGGACAGCUCUCUUUGGGCUUUCCGAAAAGGUAUCACAUGCCAAGUUUGGCCUCACGGUCUAAACCUUAUAGACUCAUACAUUUUUCAUAAAAAAAAGAAGAGAAAAACAAAAAAAAAAAGAGUGAUUAAACACGAGGACUUUCCUGGAGGUCACCCAUCCUAGUACUACUCUCGCCCAAGCACGCUUAACUACGAAGUUCCGAUGGGAUCUGAUGCAUUAGUGCUGGUAUGAUCGCAUCUGUUACUACAUGCAAUGCAAUCGUAUCUAUUCUUUUUUGAAGAUUUUAUGAUUCAUUUACUGUGGGUCCCACCAGCUAUGUAGGAAUAACCUAUCUUAUUUAUAAAAGCUUUGAUACAUGCAAAAUAUUGGAAAACAAUGUCCGAACAUAUAAUGUUCGCCCCAAAAUAUAGCAAAGACCACAAAAAUGCCAUAAAAAGUACAUUAAGGUCAAAAUUUGGAGUAGGAAAAAAAUCAAUAGGAGAAUUCCAUUUUCCUUCCCUCAUUCAUCGGAGAGCUCUCUUUGGGCAUUCCAAAAAGGUAUCACAUGCCAAGUUUGGCCUCACGGUCUAAAAGUUAUAGAGUAAUACAUUUUUAACAAAAAAAAAAAAGAAAAAAACCGAAAACAAAGAGGGAUGCAACACGAAGACUUUCCUGGAGGUCACCCAUCCUAGUACUACUCUCACCCAAGCACACNUUAACUGUGGUGUUCUGAUAGGAUCAAGUGCAUUAGUGCUGGUAUGAUCGCAUCAGUUACUACAUGCAAUGCAAUCNNNNNNNNNNNNNNNNNNNNNNNNNNNNNNNNNNNNNNNNNNNNNNNNNNCUCCUCAGUCAUCUUUGAGCUCUCUUUGGGCUUUCCGAAAAGGUAUCACAUGCCCAGUUUGGCCUCACGGUCUAAAAGUUAUAAAGUCAUACAUUUUUAACAAAAAAAAAAGAGAAAAACCGAAAAAAAGAGGGAUGCAAUACGAGGACUUUCCACGAGGUCACCCAUCCUAGUACAACUCUCGCCAAAGCAUGCUUAACUGCGGAGUUUAGAUGGGAUCUGGUGCAUUAGUGCUGGUAUGAUCGCAUCUGUUACUACAUGCAAUGCAAUCGUAUCUAUUCUUAUUUAAAGACUUUAUCAUCCAUUUGCCAUGGGUCCCACCUGUAGGAAUACCCAAUCUUGUUUAUAAGAGCUUUGAUACAUGCAAAAUAUUCGAAAACAACGUCCGAACAUAUAAUUUUCGCCCCGUAAUAUAGCAAAGAUCACGAAAAGGCCCGAAAAAGUACAUUAAGGUCAAAAUUUGGAAUAGAAAAAAAAACCAAAAGAAGUAUUCCAUUGUCCUUUGUCAUUCAUCGAAGAGCUCUCUUUGGGCUUUCCGAAAAGGUAUCGCAAGCCAAGUUUGGCCUCACGGUUUAAAAGUUAUAAAGUCAUACAUUUUUAACAAAAAAAAAAAGAGAAAAAACCGAAAAAAAGAGGGAUGCAACACGAGGACUUUUCUGGAGGUCACCCAUCCUAGUACUACUCUCGCCCGAUCACCCUUAACUGCGUAGUUUUGAUGGGAUUCGAUGCAUUAGUGCUGGUAUGAUCGCAUCUGUUACUACAUGCAAUGUAAUCGUAUCUAUUCUUUUUUAAAGACUUUAUGAUCCAUUUGCCGUGGGUCCCACCAGCUAUGUAGGAAUACCCUAUCUUCUUUAUAAGAGCUUUGAUAUAUGCAAAAUAGUGGAAAACCAUGUCCGAACAUAUAAUUUUUCCCCUGUAAUAUAGCAAAGAUCAAGAAAAAGCCAAAAAAAGUAUAUUUAGGUCAAAAUUUGGAGUAGAAAAAAAAACAAUAGAAGAAUUCCAUUUUCCUUCCUCAGUCAUCGGAGAGCUCUCUUUCGGCUUUCCGAAAAGGUAUCAAAUGCCAAGUUUGGCCUCACGGUCUAAAAGUUAUAGAGUCAUACAUUUUUAACAAUACAAAGUAGAGAAAACCGGAAAAAAGAGGGAUGCAACAUGAGGACUUUCCGGGAGGUAAUCCAUCCUAGUACAACUCUUGCCCAAGCACCCUUAACUGCGGAGUUCUGAUGGAAUCCGGUGCAUUAGUGCUGGUAUGAUCGCAUCUGUUACUACAUGCAAUGUAAUCGUAUCUAUUUUUUUUUAAAGACUUUAUGAUCCAUUUGCCGUGGGUCCCACCAGCUAUGUAGGAAUACCCUAUCUUCUUUAUAAGAGCUUUGAUACAUGCAAAAUAUAUGAAAAAACGUUCGAACAUAUAAUUUUUCCCCCCGUAAUAUAGCAAAGAUCACGAAAAGGCCCGAAAAAGUACAUUUAGUUCAAAAUUUGGAGUAGAAAAACCCAAUAGAAGAAUUCCAUUUUCCUUCGUCAUUCAUCGGAGAGCUCUCUUUGGGCUUUCCGAAAAGGUAUCACAUGCCAAGUUUGGCCUCACGGUCUAAAAGUUAUAGAGUCAUACAUUUUUAACAAAACAAAAUUGAGAAAAACCGAAAAAAGAGGGAUGCAACACGAGGACUCUCCAGAAGGUAACCCAUCUUAGUACUACUUUCGCCCAAGCACCCUUAACUGCGGAGUUCUGAUAGGACCCGGUGCAUUAGUGCUGGUAUGAUCGCAUGUGUUACUACAUGCAAUGUAAUCGUAUAUAUUCAUUUUUAAAGACUUUAUGAUCCAUUUGCCGUGGGUCCUACCAGCUAUGUAGAAAUACCCUAUCUUCUUUAUAAGAGCUUUCAUUCACGCAAAAUAAUGGAAAACAAUGUCCGAAGAUAUAAUUCCCCCCCCCCCCCCCCCGUAAUAUAGCAAAGAUCACGAAAAGGCCCGAAAAAGUACAUUAAGUUCAAAAUUUGGAGUAGAAAAAAAAACAAUAGAAGAAUUCCAUUUUCCUUCCUCAGUCAUCGGAGAGCUCUCUUUGGGCUUUCCGAAAAGGUAUCACAUGCCAAGUUUGGCCUCACGGUCUAAAGGUUAUAGAGUCAUACAUUUUUAACAAAAAAAAAUAGAAAAACAGAAAAAAGAGGGAUGCAAUACGAGGACUUUCCAGGAGGUCACCCAUCCUAGUACAACUCUCGCCGAAGCACGCUUAACUACGGUGUUCAGAUGGAAUCUGGUGCAUUAGUGCUGGUAUGAUGUCAUUUGUUACUACAUGCAAUGCAAUCAUAUCUAUUCUUAUUUAAAGACUUUAUGAUCCAUUUGCCGUGGGUCCCACCUGUAGGAAUACCCUAUCUUGUUUAUAAAAGAUUUGAUACAUGCAAAAUACUCGAAAACAAUGUCCGAACAUAUAAUUUUCACCCCGUAAUAUAGCAAAGAUCACGAAAAGGCCCGAAAAAGUACAUUAAAGUCAAAAUUUGGAGUAGAAAAAAACCCAAUAGAAGUAUUCCAUUCUCCUUCGUCAUUCAUCGGAGAGCUCUCUUUAGGCUUUCCGAAAAGAUAUCACAUGCCAAGUUUGGCCUCACGGUUUAAAAGUUAUAGAGUCAUAGAUUUUUAACAAAACAAAAAGAGAAAAACCGAAAAAAAAUUGGGAUGCAACACGAGGACUUUCCUGGAGGUCACCCAUCCUAGUACUACUCUUGCCCAAGCACCCUUAACUGCGUAGUUCUGAUGGGAUCCGAUGCUUUAGGGCUGGUAUGAUCGCAUCUGUUACUACAUGCAAUGUAAUCGUAUCUAUUCUUUUUUAAAGACUUUAUGAUCCAUUUGCCGUGGGUCCCACCAGCUAUGUAGGAAUACCCUAUCUUCUUUAUAAGAGCUUUGAUAAAUGCAAAAUAUUGGAAAGCAAUGUCCGAACAUAUAAUUUCGCCCCCGUAAUAUAGCAAAGAUCACGAAAAAGCCCAAAAAAGUUCAUUUAGGUCAAAAUUUGAGCAGAAGAAAAAGAAAUAGAAGAAUUCCAUUUUCCUUCCUCAUUUAUUGGAGAGCUCUCUUUGGGCUUUCCGAAAAGGUAUCACAUGCCAAGUUUGGCCUCACGGUCUAAAAGUUAUAGAGUCAUACAGUUUUAACAAAAUGAAAUAGAGAAAAACCGAAAAAAAGAGGGAUGUAACACGAGGACUUUCCGGGAGGUAAUCUAUCCUACUACUACUCUCGGCCAAGCACCCUUAACUGCGGAGUUCUAAUGGGAUCCGGUGCAUUAGUGCUAGUAUGAUCGCAU
Molecule: long non-coding RNA, 84014 nt
Filed under: Arabidopsis thaliana (thale cress)
Lineage: Eukaryota; Viridiplantae; Streptophyta; Magnoliopsida; Brassicales; Brassicaceae
Description: long non-coding RNA (ATHA_LNC000153)
Source: RNAcentral